Molecule: long non-coding RNA, 66613 nt
Filed under: Oryza sativa (Asian cultivated rice)
Lineage: Eukaryota; Viridiplantae; Streptophyta; Magnoliopsida; Poales; Poaceae
Description: long non-coding RNA (OSAT_LNC001266)
Source: RNAcentral
GACGGCAGCGGACGCCGUCAACAGCUGGGUGGGGGAGAAGGAUCUGUACGACUACGACAGCAACAGCUGCCUGGGGUCGUGGGACUCGUGCCUCCACUACACGCAGGUGAUGUGGAGCCGCACGACGGCGAUCGGCUGCGCCCGCGUGGACUGCGACAACGGCGGCGUCUUCAUCACCUGCAACUACAACCCCGCCGGCAACUUCCAGGGAGAGCGCCCCUUCGAGCGUGGCCUCACUCUCUCUGCUUAAUAAGUUAUUAAUACAGUAUUUACUUUAACUAUGUAUGGAGUAUGAUAUAAAUGUGCGAAAUAAUAAUUACGGGGAUCUUAUUAUAUAUAUAUGUACGUUGUCGUUCGAAUAAAAGAAGAAAAUAAAUGAGAAAAUUAAUUCCAUUGUCUGCAUGUAAUUUGAAAGGACGACCAUACAAUCAGAGACUGGGUGGUGCUGUGGUGGAACAGUCCUAGUGGCCUGUCCAGGGGAAACUAAUUAAGAAUUGAUUCUUAGAAGCAGCUGGUUAGUAGACAACUUUUGAGGAUCUGUAAAAGUUGGUUUCCCAGCUUCUAAUUUCUUGUUCAUUUUCUGAAUUCUGGGCCUAUUUGGCAUAGUUCCAUCACCAGCUCCACCUCUCCUAAAACUGGAGCUCAGCCAAACAGUUUCAGCUCCACCUAAUAGCAGCGAAGCUGGGUGGAGCGCUCUCAUAAAAUGAACUAGAGAUGUGGAGCUGUGUUUAGUCAGCUCCACAACUCCACUUCAGACCCAACUACUGGAGUUAAAUUUAGAAGUUGGAGCUCUACCAUGCAACUAUAGCUUCUCAGAAUCUGUACCAAAAGCUAUACUGUUUGGGGGGGAGUUUCUGAUUCUGGGAAAAGCUGCAGCAGCUGGAAGCUCCCCCAAACAGGCCCUAGGUGUCUAUUUGGGAAAAGCUUUUAGCAGCUGCAACUUCUCUCAGAAUCUUUAACUCUCCCUAAACAAUUUAGAUUGUCAUUCACAUUAUAAGAAUUUGUAGUAGAUAUAUAAUUCAGAAAAUGAACUAUAACAAAAAUUUGGAAAACUAACUUUUUCAUAUUCUCAUGAACUGAGAACAAAUCUGUUAAUUCUCACAAUUUUAAGCUCUACCAAAAAGAAUUGAACAUCUGGGCUGACCUAUGGUGGGAAACUACCAAUUGGGGCUAAGUUUGAAUAGGCUUCAUCUGGUCCAACGAAUUACAGCCCACAAACAUGCAUGUAUGAGCUAAUAUUUCAAGCCUACAUAGAUGGGCUGGCGAUGAGGCCCAUCUAAUGCCUUCAUCAGGCUAGACUUGAAGCCCGUGAGGAUAGGGUGCGAAACUCCUAUGGCACGAUUGAUUGCUUGGGGCGAUCGGUUCCUCUGCCCUACGCGGUAUUUUUUUUUUGGCACCACUUUACUUUUCUGUUUUACUAAGUUUAUACCCCCGAAGUUUAUACCUAUUAAGUUUACACAUCUAAAGUUUACAUACUUAAAGUUUGUUGACCUAAAAUUUGUAAGUCAAAAGUUUAUAUAUCAGAUUCAAGUUCAUCUUUAAAUGUAUUUAAAUUUAAAUUCAAAUUUGAAUCGGUAUAUAAACUUUUGACCUAUAAAAGAUGUGUAAACCCUAUAAGUAUAAACUUUAGGUAUAUAAACUUAAAAAAACUAUAUGGUGAAAAAAAAAGAAAAGUGGUGAAAAAAAAACUAUAGGGUGUCCAUGUAAAUCGAUCCCAAUAAAAGCAUCAAGGAAGCUCAUAGUGUAUGCAAAGUAAGGGAAAACCUAAUUUUGUAGCUAAGAAAAAAAUAGCUUUAGCUAUAUGGCCGAGGGGUAAAAUAUUAGAGUGCUCAUUACUAAUUUACUUCUUGACAUUACCAUAUACCUUGAAAAAUAACUACUAGUACGUACGUACUAUUUAGAGUUCAAUUUGUUUGUUUGAAAGUUUGUGAAGUGAUACUAGAUAUUGAUCUAUAUUGUUAAUUAUUUUUCAACAAAAUAUAUGAUUAUUAUUUGGAUUGACAUUUAGUUAAGCAACAAGCUGGGGACAUAUUCCUAUAAGAGACAAAGUUAUUAAUAUUUCUCCGCAAUUUGAUAAAUUAAUAUCGACAUGCUAUGAUGUCUGACCUAGUUAGACAUACGUGUAAGAAUUGGUCAGUGGGAAAUCGAUUACUAAUCAAAAUAAUCAAGUGGAUCAAAUUAAGUCGAUCCGGGCAUGUACUUGUUGCUGAUGAACGUCACAGGGUAGAAAGGAAGAAAACACGGCAGGAAAGCAUGGUUACCCAUAUUCCAAUGGAUGCACCCACCUAUAUAUAUAGCUACUAGCCAGUGCACGUGUAACUUUAUUUUUUAUGAAAAAAAUAGUGAUCAAAGAUAGAAUAUUUUUUAAAGUUCGACCACAAAUUUAUGUAAAAAAUUAUCAAUAUCUAAAACACUAAAUUGGUUUUAUUAAAUAUAACAUUAAAUAUAUUUUAAUAAUAUAUUUGUUUUCUGUUGAAAAUAUUACUAUAUAUUUCUGUAAACUUAAUCAAACUUCGAUUUUGAUAAACACCUGGCGAUAAUAAAAUCGACAAAUAUAUGCAGGAUCAGGUGACUAAAAUCAGACAGCUCUUUAUUUAUUACUACCUCCAUAUUUUAAUGUAUGACGCCGUUGACUUUUUGUCUAACAUUAGACUAUUCGUCUUAUUCGAAACAAUUAUGUAAUUAUCAUUUAUUUUAUUGUGACUUGAUUCAUCACCAAAUAUUCUUUAAGCAUGGCAUAAAUAUUUUAUAUUUGGAUAAAAAUUUUGAAUAAAACGAAUAGUCAAACGUUGGUUGAAAAAUCAAUGGCGUCAUACAUUAAAAUACGGAGGGAGUAAUUUGUAAUAAAAAUACACACCGGAUACAUAUAUAUCUGUAUUUGUAGAUACUCAAUACGUCUGCAUCAUGACGUACUUAUUGCAUCCAACACACUGAUCAUGCAUACGCAUGCAGAUCGAUGUGCGUACAUAUAUACAUACGAACAUACAUAGUAGUUCGUACAUAUAUGCGCAUAUAUAUCUACUGAGAGCAGAAAGAUUUAUACGUACAAUAUAUACUAGAGUAGUAGCAAAAUAUAUUCCAUAGCAUAUACGUUACGUACGUACGUAUACGUAUACGUAUACGGUAGCUAGUACGGCCUCUGGUUUUGGACGUUGCCGGCGGGGAAGUAGGUGCAGAUGAAGAAGACGCCUCGGUUGGCGUUGCAGGCGACGGCGGCGCAUCCGACGGCGGUGGUGUCGCGCCACACGACCUGCGUGUAGUGGCCGCACAUGGCGCCGCCGACGCAGCUGUUGCUGGCGUAGUCGUAGGAGCCCUUCUCCGCCACCCACUGGUCGACGGAGCUCGCCGCCGUCCACGCCUGCACGGAGGGGUUCCACGACAGGUUCUCGCCGUACUGAUAGUUGUUGCGAUCGGAGUGCCGCAGCGCGCAGUCGCCGGCGCGCUGGUUCGCGUAGCCCUGCGCGUACGCCGCCAGGUUGUCGUCCCACGACAGCGCCGGGACGCCGACGGCGCUCCGGGCGGCGUUGUGGAUGUUGACGAUGUCGGUCGCCGUGGUCUGGGCCUGCGCCGUCGAUGUGGUGGCCAGAACCACCGCCAUGGCCGCCAUCACCACUGCAAAGCUCGCUCCUCUCUCCAUUGCAAGCUCGCAGUUGAUUUGAUUGGCAGUGUACGUUCGAUCGACUGCGCAAUUAGAGUAGAACUAGAGCUAUAGCUAGCUAGUAGAGGUGAUGAUUAAUACAUGCAAUUUCGGCAGUAUUUAUAGACGGGCUGGCUCUCGAUCGAGCCAUGGACUUAAUUAAGCACAUGGCAAAGAAGAAACGGUAAACGUUGAUACGGCGGACUGGUCCCUAAUUAUUAAGAGAAAGAAAUGGGAGAAGAGCUGAAGAGGUGAUAAGACCAGAAAGUCAUGAACAAAGCACUCAUGGGAAAGUGGAUAAUAUGCGUGGCAAAACUUGUUACUACAGACCAAAUUCUCUUACCCAGAAUGUCUGAAAAUUCUUCAAAUCGGGUGCCCGCGCCUCCGCGCCGAAAAAAAUGGGGCACCGCGCCUCCGUCCACCACGCGCCCCACCACACGCACUGUUGCAAUAAAUCUGCCACAUAUUACGGAAACACUCUAUUAACAGGAAUCCGUUUCAUUUUUUUUUCACCAAUAAUGUUUCAACAAGUAUAUUCGUAUUGUUACACUAUGUAUAGAUCAAAUGUUGCAGAGAAUUGAAACAUCCUUUCGCUAUUUGCUGAAACAUUAUUUUUAUAUGCGGUGAAAUAGCUUCAAAAACCGUUGUUUCAUGCGCUGUAGCAAAAUGUUUUAUGAGGUGAUUUGGUUGUAUUUAAGCUUUUUAAACGAUUGGACCAUUUUCAAUCAACGUAGUGAAACAAUUCCGAUCUAUUUGGUGGAACAACCCCGAUUUUUUUAAAAAAACGGGUGUCCGAUUUAUAUACGCCUCGCCAAAAUGUGUAAAAACAGGAGUGGGAUGGAGUCGAUCAGCUAGGAAAGGAUGUGUCAGAUGCUGGAAACUUUUAGCGCUUCCCAAAGAACAAUACUCUAUGCCUAUUAAAAUACAAAAUAUUUUUUUGGGCAACUAGAACUUAUUUUGAUGGAUGAUUUCUCGAAAGAGCCGUAUGUGAAAAUUAACUUGUACGCGGGGUCAUGAAAUUCGUACCCCAUGCAAAUCCUUAAUUUUUAUAGGCCCUUGGUAGUACAGUUGAUCGAUUCAAAUAAAUGCUGCCGAAAAUAGGUUACGUUUUCUUUACCAGAGUUAAGUAAUUGAGUGAUCAAAGUAGCAGUAAUAUUCUACUCUUUUAUUAAAAUCGGAGGUGUAGUAUGUAAACACCACCUGUUGAUGAGGACAUCACUUCGUCGGAUACGCUCGUAACUUCACACGCUCCAAUAAUAAUUUCAAGUCCAAGACCAGUUCGGCCUCCGGAGACAGCACUGACUUCAAACGGACCUAGCGCCUUCAUGCUAUCUCCGAUUUGGGUGAUCUUGGACUUCGUGGAAAUCUUAUCUCGCUACCUUUCAAACGCAUCCGGUUUCAUGUCCAAAUUCAUCUCGAGUCAACGGGAAUCACCAAAAUAAGACAGUGCUGUUGCUGAAACCGAACUUGGGCCUUGGGCCUUGUAAUAGACUAGGCCCAUCCCGGAAGUGUCUCCCUCCACCUCCACAAAUUAGCACUUAACCCUAGCUUUAUUUUCCUCUAUAAAUAACUUUGUAUAUCCUCAAAAACAAUUGGGUUUUGUUUAGUUGAAUUUUGCCAAGUGCCAUUCACCUUGUCUCUAGUCCUCGCUCGAUUAGUCGGCGACUAUAGAUUCAGAGCCCCCAAUAGUUGGUGUGUUGAUUUGCCGGGUCGAUUAGAUCUACCACUUCAAUCGCAACUAUUCCUUUGUGCUUAAUUCCCUAUUUGCAAUAUUUAGAUUGCAUCUUAUCUUGUUCUUGCAGUGUUCUCUCGUUUGCAUUGCAGGGAUCAUCAACCGCGCGUCACGGUUGGUACGACAUCGUUUGUGGUGUAGCGAUUGCACGGCGUCCUGGAUUUGUUCUGGUUGGUAGCCACAUCGCAAACGUCGCACUCGAUCAAAGCGAGAGUUAUCCCCCUCACCAGAAGAUCGGGCCACGAGAGAGAGCGUCAUCAGUUGGUAUCAGAGCUUCAGUUGCUUGGUGAGGAUUUUAGUUUUGUAAUUUUUUUCCCAUCGUCUACCAUACAGCCGCAAUAUUUUUUUCCAUCACCAAACUUUAGUUUGAGCCUUUCAAAUUUCAUUCAGUAUUGUGUUCUUGAGUUUUGGUCCAUUGUCGUGUCGAAAGUGCUGGUUUUAGUCGUAGCUCAGUCUGAGUUUUGAGCUUUGCAUUUGGUCGUCGUCGUCUCGGUUGAGCAGUAGAUCGGUUUGAGAGAAAAAAAAUCCAGAGUUUCUGUUGGGUGAGAUUUCUUUCCAGUGCAUGCAUGCAUGGAAUCGCGGUACGUGGUUACCAAAUAAAUAGCGCCUCAAAUCAGGGACUAAUCUUGGUUAUUUCCUAGUUAGUUUCUGUGUCUAUCCGAAGUGCAUGUGCCAAGGAUCGGUUUCCAUAUUCCUGGCACCACCCAAAUAGGAGGUACGUAGUUUUCUCUGUAACUACACAUUCACACGCACAAGCACCUGGUUGGUUGGUCUUUGGUCAUUUGAUUUUUUUUUCUUCUAGGCUUGAGUCCUUUGUAAUCUUAUUUACCAGCUAUUCCAUUUGGUAGAUACCGCUUGCCAAAAAAAAAAGAAAUAAAGAAAAGGCAGAAGGUGCAAAAAAAAAAAGAAAAAAAAAGAAAAAAAGAGCCGCACCAAAGAAAAAACAGAAAAAAAGAGAAAAAAAAUCAGAAAAAGAAAGAGUGGAAUUUUUUUUGUUGGAAUCUUGGAGAGAGUUGCUUACUAUAGCGAGUUGUGGAUUGUCCGAGUGUGAUCAUUUGCUUGCUUAAGCUAGGAUUGAGUCUAGGCUACGCCAGCAAUUUUGACUAGUACUUUGGACUAUUAUUCAAUUUCGCAAAUCUGUUUGAUUUUUGCUAUUCCUUGUGAUAUAGUUAAGCCUACCAAGAUCCACAUACUCCUAACCUUUACAGGUCCGGCCUUGCAAUUGCUCCACUCAUCAAGCGUGUCAUUGUGCCACGAACCAGCCACGGUGAUUGACCUGUUUUGCAUUCUUUGAGAAUAUUAUAAGAAUUUGGUAUAUGCUUGAGUGUUGAGUGCCUUCAAAAGCUCCACAUAUAUAUAGAUUGUUAGGAACUGACACUUUCUUGUGAGUUUCUUUUGCUUGCUAACGAUGUCAGGUACAAGUUCCGACGAACCAACACUGGAGAAUCUAGCGCAUAAACUGAAGGGUAUGGAAAAUUGGUAUGAAGAGUUGAUGCGUAAUAGUAAAUCAUACAAGGAAAGCACAGAUAAACAUUUAAAAACCUUAAGUGAAAGCCUGGUGAAAGUAGUGGAUCAAAUUGAGAAAAUGAAUCAAUCACAUAAACAAUUAACUGAAAACAUUCAGAAUAUGAUUAUUGAACAUGAAAAUAUUGUGCGACGCAUUGGUUUACUUGAGGCUGCAGGUGAAGAAGGUGCAGGUGCCACUGCUCAUCGACACCAAAGAUAUGACGAUGAAGACGAAGAGCAAUCUGUUGCUGAUGAUGUGGAGGAAGACGAGAGUGUUGGAAAUAGAAGACAACGUCGAGUUAGGGACAAAGAUGAUCCUUUAUCUAAGGUAAAAUUUACUAUGCCUUCUUUUGAUGGUAAGUUUGAGCCUUCUGUUUAUCUAGAUUGGGAGUUAGCUGUUGAGCAAAAAUUCUCUUGCUAUGAUUUUCCUGAUAAUAAGAAAGUUAAAGCUGCCAGUAGUGAAUUUACCUCCUUUGCAUCUCUAUGGUGGAAUAAUAUAUGUGGUAGAGGACUUAGACCUAGAACAUGGGAUGAUAUGAAACGUACAAUGAGGUCUAGAUUUGUUCCUUCUUACUAUGCUCGUGACAUGUUAAAUAAACUGCAACUUUUAAGACAAUGUUCCAAUUCUGUAGAAACAUACUAUCAAGAGAUGAUGAUUGCUUUGUCACGAUGUGAUUUGCAAGAAACUGAGGAUGCUAGAAUUUCUAGGUUCUAUGGAAGUCUUAAUAGAGAGAUUCGGGAUAUUCUUGAAUAUAAAGAAUACAAUACCAUGAAUAGAUUAUUCCAUUUUGCAUGCAAAGCUGAAAGAGAAGUGCAGGGACGCAACAAGCAUAGAAGUUCUUUUGCAGGUGCUACUUCCACACGACAGUCAACACCACGUCAAGCUACUACUGCCGUUCGUUCACCUACUUCUACGCCAUCCAAUGCUCAAGAAAAAAGCAAAAACGCUUCAGUUCAGACUCCAGCCAAGAGUGCAACUUCAGUAGCUUCCACUGGACGUACCCGUGAUAUUACAUGUCAUAAGUGCCAUGGCAUUGGACACAUUGCACGUGACUGUCCAAAUCGGCGAGCUCUAUUUGUGAAUGAUGAUGGUGAGUAUACUUCUACUAGUGAUUGUGAUGAUGAAUAUGCUUUAGCUGCCACUGACCACGCAGGAGGACAAGAUAAUGAUGACAUCGAGGAAGUCCAUUUGCAUCCAGAGUCGCUAGAUCAGUAUCCUAGCCUAAUUGUCAAGCUAGCACUUAGUGCUAAAGAGAAGUGUGAAGAGCAAAACCAAUGUCACAAUUUGUUCCAAAGCAAAGUUCUUGUGAAAGACCAUACCGUCAAAAUGAUUAUUGAUAGCGGGAGUUGCAACAAUUUAGCAAGUGAAGAGAUGGUCAAGAAGCUUGGCUUGACUACCCAUCCACCUCCACGAAUUAGCACUUAACCCUAGCUUUAUUUUCCUCUAUAAAUAACUUUGUACAUCCUCAAAAACAAUUGGGUUUUGUUUAGUUGAAUUUUGCCAAGUGCCAUUCACCUUGUCUCUAGUCCUUGCUCGAUUAGUCGGCGACUAUAGAUUCAGAGCCCCCAAUAGUUAGUGUGUUGAUUUGCCGGGUCGAUUAGAUCUACCACUUCAAUCGCAACUAUUCCUUUGUGCUUAAUUCCCUAUUCGCAAUAUUUAGAUUGCAUCUUAUCUUGUUCUUGCAGUGUUCUCUCGUUUGCAUUGUAGGGAUCAUCAACCGCGCGUCACGGUUGGUACGACAUCGUUUGUGGUGUAGCGAUUGCACGGCGUCCUGGAUUUGUUCUGGUUGGUAGCCACAUCGCAAACGUCGCACUCGAUCAAAGCGAGAGUUAUCCCCCUCACCAGAAGAUCGUGCCACGAGAGAGAGCGUCAUCACCUGUACGCACACAAGUUGCCUGAUUUUUUUUCCUAGUGGACACACUCGUGUGUAAAAAGGAUAUGCUUUGCUAGCUACUUCCUCCGUCCCAAAAUAUAACUAUUUUUUAUUUCGACAUAGUUUUCGAUAUGCUAUUUUGAUUAAUAAUAUCUAAAAAGAGUUGUAUAUUAUGAUAGUUCGUUUAAUGAUAAAUCUAGUAACAUCAAUUUUAAAUGAUGUAUUUUUUUAUUAUUUUAUUAAUAGUUAAAGUUAAAAAUGUUAGACUAGUCUAUAAAUAUUUUUAUUUUGGGACGGAGGUAAUCCCAGACAUAUGCUUUUUUCUAGAUAAUGUGACAUGGAUAUGUAGGCCAGAAAAUUAAACAUCAAGUUGCUAAAGAAAGUAUGAGGAAGGUAACGUAAGUAUGUGUGCCAAGACUAAAGAAGUGUGGAUCCAUGCAUAUAUGGCUAGUUUGCUACAAUUAAUUGACCACUUAUAAUUAACUUUAGUUACAUUAGUAGGAGUAGUUAGGAUUAAAAAAACUAGAGUAAAAUACAGUAGCGGCCCUUAAACUUGAGGGCGGAUGUCAUCCAGGUCCAUUAACUUGCAAAUCGUGUAAUUAGACCACUAAACUUGCUAAAUGUACCAUCGCCGGUCCAAAAUGCCAUUUGACCGCGGUCGCGCCGACGUGGCAUGCCACGUGCACAGCUGAGCUGGACCACACCGUGCGUGACACACCGCCCACGCCUUGUCGUUUUUCAUCCAGGCCCCUCUCUUUUUCUCAUUUGGUUUCCACCACUGCUUCUUCUUCCCUGAAGCGCCCAAAAUCUAAGCGCCGACUAGGGUUGCGAUUGAGGGCAAGUUUCGGCGGCGGAGCAGGUUGCGGCAGGUUCGUCGGCGGAGCAGGUCUCGGCAGGGUUCGGCGACGGAGUAUGUCGUGGCAGGGUUCUUUGGCGGAGCAGGUCUCGGCGGGCUUCGGCGGCGGAGCGGCUGGGUUGAAGGCGAUGGCAGGCUCGAGCUCCAGUUGGAGCACAACACGGUGGGCGACAGAAAUAUCCAGGCAAGGUAAAACCUUUCCAUCUCCCAUUCGGUACCUGGAGAGUACUUUGUUGAAGUCAGUUGGUUUAUUCAUUUUGAAUGUGCAGAAUGGUGGAUGCAAAUUACGGCAGUGGUAUGAACCAGGGACAACGUCGUAUUUGAAGCAGGUUUUGAAUGAUUUAGUCAGCACUGUUCGUGAAGUGAAGACAGAGAACUCUGAAAUUAGAGCAUCCCUUGCCAACUCAAGAGCUAUGAUUGAUGGACUUGUCACUGAACGCAAUGUCUAUGAAGCAAAGAGCAGGGGACAAAAAGAGGAAUGUGGCUCAGUUACUAAAAUGGCCUAUAGAAUCAAGAUGUUAGAAGAGAGUAGAAGAUCUAUGUUGUCAGUUAUUGUUGGUUUUGUAGUAGUCAUAUUUGCACUAUUGCUUCUUAGGUAGAUACCAAAGUUUGAUGGAUAUGGAUGUAUUGGUGCUGGUGUGUUUUGUGUCAGCUGAAAUAAGGCACUUGAGUGACCUUUUGUGUAUGCUGAAUCUGAACCAUGUAUGGAAAAUGUAUGCUAAAUGCUAUUAUGUGAAGCUGAAAUCUGAGAUUUUGUUCUGAAAAUCGACAUCUCUAAUUUUUUUCAGCAGACAACUGUUAUUUUGUUCUAGCAUAUGAAAUGUCCUGUAAAACUGUCAUAUGGAAAUAGCAAACAUGCAUCAUGCAUUACAGGCAGUAAUUUCGCAUAUUCAUCACAAUACCAAAUUUCUGGCAUUUAGUAGUAUUUCCAGUACUACAUUUAGUGAACACAUGUCUGGCAUCACAAAAAUCCCAUGUUCUAUCACAAAAUAGCCACAAGUUUGGCAGCACAAAAUCAAGCAAGCAUGCCCAUGAAAUCCAUACAAGGUUGAAAUUUUUGCAUAACAAAGUACUACUAACACUAAAGGACCAUCAAACAUAUGGUCUAACACAUAUCACUUGUUUGUAGCAGUAGCUUUCUUCCUGGGAGCUCUGUUCUUUGAAGUAGUAGCAGCAACUCCUGAAACUCCUUCAGUUGUACACUUCCUUUUGUUGGCCCUAGAUUUUCCCUCUUUUGUUGCUGUGGUCAUAGGGGUAGAUACUACAGCUGGCUGGUUUGAAAGAAUGUACUGGUUAUCUGGGAGAGGACCAUGUGUAGUUUCCAUUUGACUCACUUGUGAUGAUUCCUCAAACAUCUGUGCAACCAUAGGAUUAGGAACUUGUGAUAGUAAUUGGUCAUAUGCAGACUGAGAUUGGGUCAGCACCUACAAGUUUACAAAGGUAAUUAAGAUAGAGUUAUAAUUAAUAGGGUACUGAUAAUAGAGUGAUAAGAUAGAGUAUUGUUUCAUUACCUCUACUGGUUCUUGCUCAGAUUCAUGCAACUCUUCUGUAGAACUUGCAGCUGGGGUCCUACUUGUCUUCAGUUUGGGUUUGAGUCCAGCCUUUCUCAGUGGGCACCCUUUCUUGUUAUGUCCAGGCUCUUUGCAGUAAGAGCAGUGCAUCUCCACACCAUGCUUGGACAUUUUAGGCCCAUUUUUUCCCUGUACCUCAUGUGGUGCUUUCCUCCUAGACUUAUGUGGUCUGCCAACCUUUUUCUCAUAUAUUGGAGGCUUCACUUCUGGCCCAUUCACCUGAGCCCACUUAGUCAUAUCAUUGCAGGGCCAAAUGUUAAAUGCAUAUGCUCUGGAGAAUGCUUCUAAACUAUAGCAGGGUGGAAGAACUGACUCGGCACUAAUUCUCUCACUCCUUAAGCAUGAGAUAGCAUGGUUACAAGGGAUGCCUGUUAGAUCCCAUCUCCUGCAGUCAAAAUGUUUAGCACUAAGGUCAACAAUGUACUUGAAAUUCCUAUCUUCCACCUGAAAAAUCCCUUUCCCGGCUGGCAAAACAUAACAUGUGUUUGCCAUAUCUGCAUUUUUCAGUACUUUCUUCCUGAUCUUGGGGCAUAUAGGCCCAUGCCAUUGCUCUGCCACUUCUUUCUGCUUACUGUAAUGCCUACUCAUUACUUGGCUUUUGAUCUUUUCAAACAUACUCAGGAUUGGCAAUUCCCUAGCUUCUAAGAUGUACUUGUUGAAUACUUCACAAUUAUUGUUCAACAAGAUAUCACACUUAGGGAAUUCACUGAAAUAAGCUCUGACCCAAGUUUUAGGAGGCAUCUUUUGAAGCCACUCAUAUGCAUCCUGAUUAAGAGAUUUCAUUUCUUCCAUGUUGGCAUUCCACUCAACCUCUGAACUUGAUCUAGCACAUGCCCAUAACUGGUUUUUCAGAUUCUCACCUUUGAAAUGUACCUGAAAAUUGGAGUACAGAUGUCUAACACAAAAUCUAUGUUCUGAAUCAGGGAAAAUCUGUUGGACAGCUGGUAUAAGACCCUGUAUCAUGUAAAAACAAACAUGGAAUUUGAAAUAUGUCAGAUUAUAAGAACAAAACUUAUAAGACAAAAAUAAAGAACAAGUAUACCUUUUGCUUAUCAGUCAUUAUUGUCCAUGGGUAGGUAUUGUCAAUGCCCAGGUCUUCCUUUAGGGUAUAUAGAAACCAUGUCCAAGACCUCAAUGACUCUUUCUCAACCACAGCUAUUGCAAUUGGAUAUAUGCAAUCAUUAGGGUCAAUGCCUACUGCUGUUAGGAUUUGUCCACCAAAUUUAGUCUUGAUGUGGCAACCAUCCAAACAUAUCAAAGGCCUACAUCCACUCAGAAACCCUCUCUUACAUGCAUCAAAGGACAUGUAAUAUGUGCUGAAACAACUGUCUACCAGGUUCAAAAAGAAGCAACUGCCUGGAUUAGACCUUCUUAGCUCAGCCCCAUAGUUCCACAACUAAUUAUAUUGUUGAAUCUCAUCACCAUAUAUGGCCUUGAAGGCCAAUCUCCUUGCCCUGGCUAGCUUGCUUCUAGAUGGAGUCAGAUUCCAUUCUAAUUGGACUAACUUUGCAAACCCUCCAAGUGUCAUCUUAUCAUUUGCUCUAAAAGUUUCAAUGUACUUCUCAGAUAGCCAUUUAGCAGUACACCUUUUCAGCACCCAUUCCUUCUGACAUUUAUGCUCCCCAAGAUAUGUCUUCACCAUCAUUGACUUGGACCUGCUAUCAAAUGAUGCAUAUAAGUUCCAUGGGCAACCCUCAACACAGUGGGCCCUAAGUCUUUUUUGCUCAUUCCUAGGUAUCUUGAUGUCCACUCUAGCCUUCAAACUGUACUCUGUUAUGGCCUUUCUAAGUACUUCUACUGAAGGAAACACCAUGCCAACCUUAAAAACUGGGUUCUUAACAUCCUCUGCCAUGAAAGCCUUGAACUUUAAUCUCACUUCACCUUCAUCAUCUGAAUCUGGGAGCUGCAAAUCUUCAUCAUCAGUGGAAACUUCCUCCCCAUCAGAAUUUCUAACUACUAUUUCUUUCCUCUUCAACUGACUGCCCUUAGCUUUCUUCCAAGACUUUGCCUUGCAGUCAGAUAAGUCUUCAACACCCAUAUCAACAUUGUCAACAUACAAGUCAUCAUCUGCAUCUGAUAUAUCAUAGUCACUGUCCACAAAAUCUGUGUCAUCUUCUAAGCUACCAUCACUGUCACUGUCAUCUUGUUUGUUUGGCACCUUCCUAUCAGCAGUUGGCAUCUUCCUAGGACUAAGCACCCUAGGCAAUUCACUAAUAGGAUUAGCUACUACAUCAUCCCAAUCUACACCUGCAAUUGUGUCACCCUGAUCAAAGUAGAUAAUAAAAUUCUUAACCUUGUGCACAACUGAUUUCAUCACUUCAAAGUCAGCCCUAGUAGAUAUAACCCUAAGGCCAUCUUCAAGAGUCCUUCCAGGGAGCAACCAAUAAGCCUUAAAAUCUGGAGUCAUAUCAUACCCAAGCAUAGCUAAAAAUUCAUCCAAACAAACAAUAUCCCAUGUUCCUGCUUCACAGUGGUCAAUCCAAUUUAUUGUUUGAUCUACAUAUGCCCUGUUGCUACUUUGACCAACAAAAAAACCACCAUGGUGUACCUCAGCGGUGAAUUUACCAUCAUCAGGACCUGCAUUGCAAUCCUAAUUAGCUGUAUUACUCUCAUGUUCUAGCCUACUCGAGAACAAUGUCAGGAUAAUCAUCCUACAGGGAAAAAUAACAUCUUUUUUGCAUAACAAACGCCUUAUUCCUUUGUAUCUAUCUACCAACAUCAAUCAGUGCAUGCUAACCCUGCAGAUUAAUGGACGAACGAAAUUUUGAAGUUAUACUCACUGUACAACGGAGGCCCUUCCCCUUCCAGGCGGAAAAUCAUGCCUCCUCCCCGCGAUUAUGGUCGGCGGGAGGCCGCAACAGCCAAUCGAUCUCGCCUCUUUGCGCUUCCGUUGGAACCCUAUUUCUCCGGCGAUCACCCCCCUCACGAUCUCCGCUGCACUCUGCGCUAGGGCACUCCGGGGAAGACGAAGCAGCAGUGGAUGACGAAAGAAAAUGAGAAAAACAGAGGGGCCUCGAUGAAAAAAAAACAAGUGUGGCCGGUGACACACACGGUGCGCGUGAGAAAAGGCACGGUGCGGGCCAGCUCAGCUGUGCACAUGGCAUGCCACGUCGGCGCGACCACGGUCAAAUGACAUUUUGGACCGGCGAUGGUACAUUUAGCAAGUUUAGUGGCCUAAUUACACGAUUUACAAGUUAAUGGACCUAGAUGAUAUCCGCCCGCAAGUUUAAGGGCCGCUACUGUAUUUUACUCAAAAAACUAUACUAGAGGUAAACGUGUGACAGUACAAGACCAGUCAAAGUCUUUCCAACGUCUCUCGCAUGCUGUACGUACGUACUAUAACACGUAGUAGUAGAACCGUACGUACGUCUUCGUGAGUUAGGUAAUUAAUAUGCGGCUACACGAGAGGAAAAGGCCAAGGAAAAUCAUUGGAAAGUUCAUUGCAACGUGCCAAAUAUUAAUAUUGCCUCUGUGCAUGCUCAACGUUAUAUCUUGUGCCUCCAGCUGGGCAUAUAUUAUGGUAUGAUCCUUAAUUUUAAUCUUGAAAGAAACUACCUUUUUACCAUUUCUUUAAUUCUUUAGAUAAGAAAAAGAAAAAUAUUCUCUAGAAACCAUAUCUGUCACGGUAUCCACCUUGUCAUCGGCUAUGUCAGUGUUACUCGAAGCUUUAUUUCUAAUUAAGGGUAUCUUUACUCUAUGUGUGUGUGUAUAUUGAUAUUUCUCAACCAGGUUAUGAAUAGGGCCCACUAUUGUUGUUGUAACUUUAAGUAUUGCAUUAGAGUUAGAAAAGGGAUGAACCUAGCUUUGGGUUAAGCCCUCAACCGGUUCGUGGAGUGUUGUGGAAAAAAAUGGUGACGGUUACCUCUGACGAACGUCCUCCGUCAAAUGUGAGUAAAGUCAUCAGCGACCACUAAUCUCUGACUAGGACCAAAACACGUCAAAGGUGACGGUUUGAAUACCGUCAGAGAUGACCUGAUUCGGCGUAGUGUGCAUAGCUUUAUAUGAGCCUGUACUUAGGCCUUGAGCUAUGGCCGAGGUAGCCCGGUUAUGAUCCAUCAUUGGUUGGGAGCCAUCACAACUUUGAAAGACACAUUUUCGGAUAAUGUGAUAUGGAUACAUAUGCACACACACUAGAAUACUAGAUGAUACCCCGUGCAGUGCAGACGGAAUAUUGGUGUGUGCAAUGCAGUUGUAAAAUUUCAAUACGUACAUACGAGAAAGAUUAUAUAUACACGCUGAUAUGAACUAUAGAAGUGUCAUCCAAUGUGUUGUCAAGUGAUGGUGUAACUUCUUUACAGUAAUAACGUUCUACGCUAGCUAAGUAAAUCACUGAAUGCUAAGUUAUUUACUAAUUAGUGAUGAAUAGUAGCUACAAAAUGGAUUAAGCAUAGGAAUGAUCCAAUAUAUGGCUCUCUUUUUUUAAAAUUAUGUGGUUUAAUGCAUGUUGAGCUAUUGGCUAUAGGAUAUAUAAAUAAGCCAGAAAAAUAAACAUCAAGUUGCAUUCACUACCUGCCCAGAUGAAGAAAGUAUGCAGCUGAGCUGUGUGCCAAAGACUAUUAAAGUACAGUGUGAAUACAUGCAUGGAAAGUUUGCGACAAUUGACCACUUAAUUAUAUUUAGUGGAAGUAAUUAACAUCUACUAGAAGCAACGUGACAGUGCAGGACCAAGUCUAAAGUGUCUUUCCAACCUCGAUCUCUCGUAAUCGAGCUUAGCUAUAGCUCUCAUGAUUUAACUGCUAUAAAUACCUCAGCAAGCAACAAGUCUCAGCACAAGACAUUAAUUAAUUAGCUUGAGAAACUCAUCUGCUGGAUCGAGCUUCUCUGUUAAUUAAUGGCGUCGAAAGCCUUUGCACUCGUGCUGCUGGCGGCGGCGACGCUGGCCAUGGCGGCCAGCACGGCGGCGGCGCAGAGCUCGCCGCAGGACUUCGUCGACGCCCACAACGACGCCCGCCGCGGCGAGGGCGUCGGCCUCCCCGACGUGGUGUGGAACACGACGCUGCAGGCGUUCGCGGAGAGCUACGUGGCGGUGCUCGCCGCCACCUGCAGCCUCGACCACUCGAACAGCGUGCAGCUGGGCUACGGCGAGAACCUGUACAUGGGCGGCGCCGGCAGCGCGUCGACGGCGGCGGACGCGGUCGGCUUGUGGAUGGAGGAGAAGGCGGACUACGUGUACAGCAGCAACACGUGCACGAGGGGGGCGCUGCUCGACUGCGGCCACUACACGCAGGUGGUGUGGCGGAGCACGACGUCGAUCGGCUGCGCGCGCGCCGCCUGCAGCAACGGCGGCGGUGUCAUCAUCAGCUGCAACUAUUUCCCGCCCGGCAACUUCCCCGAUCAGCGCCCUUACUAGUACACUAUACUUACUACUACAUGAAUGUACGCAUCAGAUAUAUAUUUAUAUGAAUAAAUUAAUCACGUUCAUGUAUGUAUAACAUAUACAGUACCAUAUUCGUACUUACUAUAAUAAGUAAGGCAAAUUUUUCUACGCGGCAUCGCAGUUGUGUGGUUUUAGCCUAGGGACACCGAAAAACAAAGCUUUGGGGGAAAGACACUACAUAACCAUAGAUAUUUAUCGAUGAGCACCGUGCCGUCUAAAUGAAACUUGCCAUGCUGACGUGGCGGUUCAGGAGCCCUUUUUUAAUGUGGUUGGACCGAAAUGCCCUUGCGCCUUAUCUCCCUUGAGGGAGUAGCCGGUCAUGGUGAAGAACCCCUCGGUGGCGUAGAUGAUGGGGCAGUCCGGGCGCGUCGCGUCGGAGACGACGAACGUCUGCUGCAGGCUGGACAGCGCGUCCUUGACCUCCAGCGACACCCACGCGGCAGCCAGUCUUACGACGCGCGGCCGCCGCCGCGCGCCGCCGUCCACUGACGACUUGCAUGCCGCUCCCGUCCCCGACGUGCCGCCGUUGUCGCACCACGCCGCCGCCACCGGACGCCAAGCCUGCUGCUGCUGGGCGCUGCUUCCGCUAGAGCCCUCCUCGGCAACGAUCUCCAAGCCGGCGGCGGUGGAGAUGGGGAACGCCAUCCACUUCUCCACCGCGUCCACUAUCUCCUUCGAGCUGCUGGCCGCCAUGGAUGCCGACGAGAUUGUCCUCGGCUAUUAUCAGCAAAGGUGUAACAAUCUUGGCAGUGCAACUGCCACUGGUGGAGAAACCAUCUUUCGUCGGUCGGGCUAAUUCCACAAUAGUCCCGGUUGCAACAAAAACCGGGACUAAAGAUCAUCUUUAGUCCCGGUUAAAAAGGGUAACGGGCAUAUUUGAUCUACACCAACCGGGACUAAAGAUCGUAACUUUAGUCCCGGUUCAAAUGCUGUAAGGGCCUGUCAGGUCCCCCGGGAUCUUUAGUCCCGGUUAAUAACACCAACCGGGACUAAAGAUCGUAACUAAAGAUCACAGCGAUCUUUAGCCCCGGUUCAUAACACCAACCGGGACUAAAGUCUCACCCCUAUAUAAAUGUCUUCUUCCUCCUUCAGCCCGAGCAAGCUUCAAAAUUUCUUCAAAAAAGAGGGGAGGUCAUGCCAAAAUUUCUAGUAAAUUUAUUUUGGUGAUUAUAUACAAAUCAGAGGUGCCUAAAAGGUUAGCAACUUCAUCCUCCAAUGUUUUUUUUUUCAUAUUACAUUUGGAGCUAUGUUUUGCACACAUUUUUGUGACCAAAAUUUUGUUGUUAUUUGAUGAGAGAGAAAAUUUGUGUGGAGAAUAAAGAAUAUAUAGAAAUUUAGUUUAUUUGCUAAAGAAGGUUUUAUAAAAAAGUUGAGAAGGAAAAUAUAGUGAAAGUUAAUCUUGAAUAAUAGAAAACAAAGUAAAAUGACAAAUUAAAAUAAGUACAACACAUUAAUAUUAGUUUAAAACUUUAUAAAUAGUAAAUAUAUAAUUAUUCGGUGUAAUAUUUCAUAAUAUUUGUAGGAAUAAUGAUAUGUCAUUAUUGUGUGACUGUUGAAAGAGUUUGUAAUUAUUUUAUAAUUAUUGUAUGACUGUCAUUAUUGUACGAAUAAUUAUGUGUGUACGAUUUUUUUUCAUGUUAUGUAGAUGGAUCGGCAAUGGAUGUACGCUGACCGGUGGUCCAAAGAGUUUAUUGACGGCGUGCAUUAUUUUUUGAGAGUGGCCGAAGCUAACAUGCAAAAGGGUUUUAUUUGUUGUCCAUGCAAUAAGUGUAAGAAUCAGAAGGAGUAUUCUGCAUGCAGGACUAUUCAUUUCCACUUGUUUGAGUCGGGGUUCAUGCCAAGCUAUAAUUGUUGGACAUCCCACGGAGAGCAAGGUGUUGAAAUGGAAGAAGAUGAAGUGGAAGACGACAAUAUUCCGGACUUUGCUCAGUACGCUGGAUUUGAAUGAAAUCAAACGGGCGAGGAGGAAAGGGAUGCUGAUGGUAACAACAUUGCGGAUGAUCUUGGUCAGAUGUUGCAGGACGCCAUGGAGGAUUGCGAAAGUGAAAAGGGGGCCCAUAAAUUGGACAAGAUGUUAGAGGACCAUAGAACGUCGUUGUACCCAGGUUGCGAGCAGGGGCACAAAAAGUUGGAUACCACUCUGGAGUUCUUGCAAUGGAAGGCAAAAAAUGGUGUUAGUGACAAGGCAUUUGGCGAUUUAUUGAAACUCGUUAAGAACAUUCUUCCGGAGGGAAACAAGUUGCCCGAGACAACGUACGAGGCUAAGAAGAUAGUGUGCCCUCUAGGACUGAAAGUUCAGAAGAUUCACGCAUGUCCGAAUGAUUGUAUUCUAUAUCGCGGUGAGGAGUACGAGAACCUAGAAGCAUGCCCUGUUUGCAAAGCACUACGAUAAAAGAUUAGACGAGAUGAUCCAGGAGAAGUUGACGGGCAGCUAACGAAGAAGAGAAUUCCUGCUAAGGUGAUGUGGUAUUUCCCUAUAAUAUCACGGCUAAGGCGUUUGUUCAGGAACAAGGGGAACGCUAGAAUGAUGCGGUGGCACGCUGAAGAGCGUCAACAGGACGGGAUGCUGAGACACCCCGCCGAUGGUUUGCAGUGGCGAAACAUCGAUAGAAAAUUUAAAGACUUUGGAAAGGACGCACGAAACAUACAGUUUGGUUUAAGUACGGAUGGCAUGAAUCCUUUUGGAGAGAUGAGCAGCGGCCACAGCACUUGGCCCGUUACGAUAUGUAUCUACAACCUCCCCCCGUGGCUAUGCAUGAAGAGGAAGUACAUAAUGAUGCCGAUUAUAAUUCAAGGGCCCAAGCAACCUGGUAACGACAUCGAUGUGUACCUAAGACCACUGGUCGAAGAUCUUAAACUGUUGUGGAAGAAGGAAGGUGUCCCCGUGUGGGAUGAGGACAAACAGAAGGAGUUUAACCUACGAGCGCUGCUGUUCGUAACCAUCAACGAUUGGCCUGCACUUAGCAACCUAUCCGGGCAGUCCAACAAGGGGUACAAGGCUUGCACUCACUGUAUGGAUGAAACAGAAAGUACGUAUCUUAAGUACUGUAGGAAGGUUGUGUACAUGGGUCAUCGUCGAUUCCUUGCAGCAAACCAUCCGGUUCGGAAGAAAGGCAAGCACUUUGAACAUAAGGCGGACCACCGUACGAAGCCUAAACAUCGCAGCGGAAAAACAGUGUUUGCUAUGGUUAAAGAUCUUAAAGUAGUGUUUGGAAAGGGGCGUGGCAGCCAGCCUAUAGAGAGCGAAGAUGGUCACGCGGCGAUGUGGAAAAAGAACUCUAUAUUUUGGGAGUUAUCCUAUUGGGAAUUCUUGGACGUCCGCCACGCAAUCGACGUGAUGCACCUCACUAACAAUCUUUGCGUAAACCUUCUUGGCUUCCUAGGUGUAUAUGGAAAGUCGAAAGAUACACUGGAAGCACGUAAUGAUCUAAAGCAUAUGGAACAACGCGGUGACCUUCACCCAGAACCAAAGGAGAAAGGAAGCCAUUACUUGAGUCUAGCCAGCUACACUCUUAGCAAGGCAGAGAAGGAAAGUACGUUUGAAUGCUUGGAGAGCAUCAAGGUACCGUCUGGAUACUCCACGAAUAUAAAGCGAAUAAUAAGCACGAAGGAGAAGAAGUUCACAAACCUAAAGUCUCAUGACUGUCACGUGUUGAUGACACAGCUGCUACCAGUUGUAAUAAGGGGUAUCCUCCCAGACAAUGUCCGGGCAAUAAUAACAAAGCUAUGUGCUUUCAUGAACGCAAUUUCGCAGAAGGUCAUCGAUCCUCAUAGAUUAGAAGCCCUGCAAAAUGAUGUGGUGCAAUGUCUUGUCAGCUUUGAGUUGAUAUUUCCACCUUCAUUUUUCAAUAUAAUGACGCAUCUGCUUUGUCACCUUGUCAAAGAGAUCGGUAUUCUCGGUCCUGUGUACCUACACAACAUGUUUCCUUUCGAGAGGUACAUGGGCGUUCUGAAGAAGUAUGUUCGUAACCGUGCUCGUCCAGAGGCAAGCAUCGCCAAGGGGUAUGGAACAGAGGAGGUCAUCGAAUUCUGCGUAGAAUUUAUCGAAGACCUUCGCCCAAUCGGGAUACCUGAAUCACGCCAUGAAGGGAGACUACGGGGAAAGGGGACUCUCGGAAAGAAAGCAAUAAUGACGUUAGACAACAAUUUAUUCCGUAAAGCCCAUUUCACGGUUCUGCAACAAUCUUCAUUGGUGGCUCUCUACAUCGAGGAGCACUUGGCUCUAGUUUGCACCAAAAACAUCGGUAAGUCCGAUGCAUGGAUUACAAGGCAUCACAUUGAUACUUUCUCCACAUGGCUGCGACAACAUCUCAUGGGUAAUGAGACGAUUAACCAACAACUGGCCUUCCUGGCGAGGGGACCAUCUGGCUCGAUCGCGACAUUCCAGGUAUAUGAAAUCAAUGGGUACACAUUCUACACGAGGGCCCAAGACAUGAAGAGCACGAACCAGAACAGUGCUGUUCGUAUCGAUGCCAUGGGACACGAUGGUACAACUGGCACGUAUUACGGUGCCAUCGAGGACAUAUGGGAACUUGACUAUGGACCUCUCAAGGUCCCUUUGUUCCGGUGCCAAUGGGUUAGGUUGACUGGUGGAGGCGUAACGAUUGAUGACAGUGGGAUGACAACGGUUGACCUUAACAAGGUUGGAUACUCGGACGAACCUUUUGUCCUUGCCAAUGAUGUAACCCAAGUUUUUUACGUCAAGGACAUGUCUAGCAAAGAAAAAAAGGGCAAAGUGACUGACGAGCCGAAGCGCCACGUGGUUCUCCCAGGAAAAAGAAAAAUCGUCGGAUUAGAGGACAAGACUGACGAGGAUUACGAUCAGUUUGAUGGGCAACCCCUUUCACGAUGACAAUUGACCCUAGCAUCCUCCUAUCAAAUGAAGACACCCCUUACUCACGUAGCGAUCACAAGGAAUGAACAAUAGUGAGGAGAAAGUACGUCCGGUCAACCGUCACCGCCGAUGUAUUGCCGUAAUUGUUCUGUACACGAUGUAAACUAUGUUGGAUGUACCGAAUAUCUAUACUAAUCAAUUGUUGUAUGGCAUAUGUAAAAUACGUAUGAUUAUUAGAAUUUUUAUCAAAUUGAAAUCAUCCAUAUGCUAGUUAUAUAUGAUUAUUAGAUUUUUUGUUAAUUAUGUAUGAUUAUUAGAAUUUUAAUCAAAUUAAAAUCAUCCAUAUGCUACAUAUAUAUGAUUAUUAGAAUUUCUAAAGGUUUUAAAUCAUGCAUGUGGUAUUUACAUAUGUUAAUUAGAAUUUUUAUCAAUUUAAUAUCAUGAUAUGCUAGUUAUAUAUGAUAUUAGAUUUUGUAUUAAUUUUAAAUCAUGCAUGUGCUAUUAUGUUAAUUAGAAUUUUUAACAAUUUUAAAUCAUUCAUGUGCUUAUUAUAUAUUAUCCACGUAUUCUACUACGUACAACAAUAAUUUUUCGAAGGUUUUAUCAUUAAUUGUUCGACUUUAAAUAAUUGUAAUGCAUUAUUUACUAUUUUAGAAACACAUAUGCAAUGAAAUUGAAGACACAACUGCUAUUAUCUUUAUUCCCGGUUCCUAACCCUAACCGGGUUUAAAAAGAAUUUGGAAAUAGCGGGAAAAGAUCUUUAGUCCCGGUUCCUGAGAACAACCGGGAGUAAAAAUAUCUUUACUCCCGGUUUAUGAGAACAACCGGGACUAAAGAUCUUUUCUUUAGUCCCGGUUGUUGUCAACAACCGGGAGUAAAGAUAUCUUUACUCCUGGUUGUUCUCACCAACCGGGACUAAAGAUCCGGGGGUAUAUAUAUUCCCGGUGCGCCCUCGUCUUCUCCACCAACACUUAGCCGUUUUUCGAUCUUGAUCGGCCUCUCCUUCGCCGCCACCGUGCCUAGGGCAACCCCGCGCCGACACCGCCGUCGUUUCUCGCCGUCGCUUGGUGGUCCUCGCCGCCUCCGCCGCAGACGCCGCCGCCGCAUCUCUUGGGUGAGAGCCGCCGCUGCCUCUCUCUCUCUCUUGAUCUCGAUCUCGAUCUCUCUCUCUGAUCGAUCUCCACGGCCGGCCGACGACCGACUUCGAUCGACGCGGCCGCCGCCGCCGUCGACGACGUCGCCACUGCCACGAACGCCGCCCCCCCGAGCUUGAUCGCCACGCCACCGCGCCACGCCGCCGCUACGCCACUCGGCCGCCACCGCCUCGAGCUCGCCACGCCGCCACUACGCCACGCCGCGGCCGUCGCGUGCCGCCACCGCGCCCGCACGCCGCUGGGCCCCGACGCCGCGGCCGUGCCCGCACGCCGCUGGCCCCGACGCCGCCACUGCGCCCCCACGCCGCUGGCCCCGACACCGCAGCCGCGCCCCCACGCCGCCGGGCCCCCACGCCGCCGGGCCCCCACGCCGCCGCCGCCGCCGCGCCCGCACGCCGCCGGGCCGGCCCACGGCGCCCCGACGCCGCCGCCACUGCACGCCACUUCCGCGCGCGCCCGAACGUGACCGAACGCGAAGAACGUGAACGAUACGUGGACGACCUUUGAACGAACGCUGAACGAACGUGAACGAAACGUUAACGAACGCGAACAAACGUAACGAAACGUUAACGAACGCGAACGAACGUGAACGAAACGUUAACGAACGUGAACGAAACGUUAACGAACGCGAACGAACGUGCACGAAACGUUAACGAACGCGGACGAACGUAACGAAACGUUAACGAACGCGAACGAACGUGAACAAUACGAUUACAAAACGCGAACGAACGUGCACGAAACGCUUACGAACAUGAAUGCACUUGUACUAAAUGUGUGAGAACGAACGCGUUUCUACUAAUACGAUUUACUGGUAAUGUUGCAGAGAAGACGUUUAGACUAAUACAUUUUCCUGGUAAUGUUGCAGAGAAGACGUCGGCGUCGUCCCUCAAGCCGAAGUGGUAGCUAGCCAUCGAAGGAAUUCGCGCAGGCAAGUGAUGUAAUUAAGUGAUUGUUAGAUAUUUAAUAUAAGAUUGUUACACUUAGCAUACAUGAUUAUUACACUUUUAAUAUAAGAUUGUUAUCGAUUUAAUAUAAUUAAGAUUAGUAGCGAUUUAAUAUGAGAUUGUUAUACUUAGCAUAUAUGACUAUUACAAUUCAAAUAUAAGAUUAUUAGAGAUUAAAUAUAAGAUUGUUAGAGAUUUAAUAUAAGAUUGUUAGACUUAGCAUAUAUAAAUGAUUAUUACAAUUUUAAUAUGAGAUUAGUAGCAAUUUAAUAUAAGAUUAUUAGACUUAGCAUAUAUAUAUAUAUAUGACUUACAAUUUUAAUAUAAGAUUAUUAGAGAUUAAAUAUAAGAUUGUUAGAGAUUUAAUAUAAGAUUGUUAGACUUAGCAUAUAUAAAUGAUUAUUACAAUUUUAAUAUGAGAUUAGUAGCCAUUUAAUAUAAGAUUAUUAGAGAUUUAAUAUAAAAUUAGCAGAGUUUCAAUAUUACGGUUAGCAAAUACAUCCUAUAUACCUAACAAAUAUUUUUUGUAUGCACAGAUGGCUGAUCGCGAUGAGGAACAGAUACUAUACGAAACAAUCGCAGAGGGAAGCAGCCAGUAUUGGAACGAGGAGGGUAACGUGGAGAGGGAUGCAGAGGGGAACGAUGCGGAGGAGGCUAAUGGAAGUCAACCCUCUGCUGGACAGAAGAGGGCACGCGGACAACGAGGUGCCGCGAAGAAGAUAGAGGGUCGGCACAUCAUAACUGAGGUGGACGAAGACGGCCGACCUAGUGCCCCGGCAGAAGCAGCCAGGAAUUUUGUACGCCACAGCGGUUGGGUUGUGAGGGACAACGUGCCUGUCAGCACGGUGUACUGGCGCAGAACAAGGGCACGCGGGGAUGAUGACAGCUUUGUCCCGGACUCAGAGAAAGAGAUGUUGUGGACCACAUUGCUCGAGACGUUCACGCUACCCGCGGGUACGGAUAACUUAGUGAAAUAGUGGACUCUGAAGAAAAUGGCAGAACAGUUCUAGAGCUUCAAGGGAGAUCUCUACAAGAAAUACAUCCUGAAGGGACUAACACCGAACUUCGACGUAUUCCCAAAGCUAAGGGAUCAUUGGGACGAGUUCGUUGCUUACAAGACAGGGCAACAAGGGCAAGAGAUGAUGGCCAGAAACAAGGAAAAUGCCGCCAAGAAGAAGUACCAUCACCACUUGGGGUCAGGCGGAUAUAGCGUCGCGAAGCCGAAGUGGGAGGAGAUGGAGGCUAGCUUGCUUGAGGGGGGUAUCGAACCGGCCACCGCUAAAUGGCCGGAUCGAUCGAAGUUCUGGUACUAUGCUCACGGUGGAACGCUUAACCCAGUUGAUGGCUCCCUUGUCUUCAGCGAUCAGAUAUGCGAGGCUGCCAGUCGACUAACGGACGCAGUGGUGGCCUCUUCUCAGGGCACAUUCCGACCCGACAGAGAGAAGGAUGAGCUGUCACUCGCCCUACAGACUCCCGAGCAUCCAGGACAAACACGAGGGAAAGGCGUGAUUCCCUAGAAGAUUGGAUUUAAGGAGGACAUCCACACGUACAGGAGUCGGAUGAGGAGCAAGAGAGAUACCGAGGCGAAGAUUGCAGAUCUUGAGUACAGGGUAUUGAGCUACGAGCUCAGCAUGCAAGAGGAGGUGGCAAGGAAGGUGGAUGAACGUAUGGCCGCACAUCGGUCCCAGGAUCCCCAGCCGUACAUUCAUCCUGUAAUGGUCAGCACAUCAGGCAAUCGUAGCAGCUGCGCCUCAACGGGGCAGGUCGGAUCACAGAGCAUGGACGCCGUGCAAACCUAGGACGCAACCACCUGCCCUGUUGAUGAGAUCACGCAGCGGACACCAUGUGAGUUGCAUAUUCCCUUCAAGAACUUAUCAAUCAAGGUAUGCUCGUAGUUUGAUGAUUUUUGACUUGUACAUUCCGCAAGUUGCUGCUUAGGUUGAUUACUAAUAGAUAACCUCUCAUCACGUGAAGGUGGCGUCGGGAAUGGCCAUCCCAACGGACCCUUCCGGGACUUACCACUGCAGGCCGAUUCCAGCAGGAUACUCGAGGGUCGAAGUUGAGCUGGUGGAAGCCGCGUACGAGGACCUCGAGUUGGACUACCCAGGAGGGGACGGUGAGACGCAUCUACGAGACACAAGCCACGCCAUCAUACUAUGGCGCAAGCGGUACAUCAUCCUUCCUGGGCGACAAGCGGCGUCUUGUGCACCAUCUCCUCCGGCUCCGCCAUCUCCUCCUGCACCAUCUCCUCCGGUUCCUCCGCCACGUCCUCCUGCACCAUCUCCUCCGGCUCCUCCGCCACCUCCUGCUGCACCAUCUCCUCCGGCUCCUCCGCCUCCACCGUGUCCGCCUGCACCUCCCAAGACAAGGUCUUGCCAAGCUCCACCGCCUGCCCGCACAAGGGCAACGAAGAAGGCGAAAGUCGACGCCACCAAAAACAAGGAGCCACCAUACGAUUGCAGUCAAGAGGAGCUUGAUGCUUAUGCGGCAGGGAGGUGAAGAGGCAACUCAAGCCUCGGAGUACUGAAAAGAAGAUACCUAUUGACCCGAGCGUGAAGAACUUCUUCAAGGGAAUGUCCAAAACAAACAAGGAGGCGUUACAGAUAUCGGACUAUGACCGAACACUUCAGAGAGCCUAUCACAAGAAGUCCAAACCAGUCCCUCAGCUUGGAGAACAACCAAACCAAGAGGUCGAGCCGUUGGUGACCGGCGAAGAUUUUGGCAUAACGGAUUUCAUUGCAGACACUAGUCUAUCUGUGGAUCAGUUGGUUGGAGGCGCACCAAUCCCGAAGGCGGAAGUGGCAUACAAGUUUGAACUCGGUAAACCGCUUGUCAAACCUGAACAGCUGGAGUCCCUACCGACACAGAUGUACAAAUUCCAUGAACGGUACAUGGAAAUGAGCUCCAACAGUAGAGAGAUGUUCGGGGCGAGGAUCAGAAACCCCGACUUCUUGCAAGGAGACGGGGUUACUAAUCGGGACUCCAAACGGUUUCUCCACCAGUGUGUGCAACCGCCGAUUCUUGCUGCAAACAACAACACGAAGAACAAACCAAACCGAAAGAGAAAAAAAAAUCAGCAGAGAGUACAUUACGCAGACAGCACCUAGAAAAGAACAAAUUAAUCACCACAAACCAUGCGACCAAUCCCUGCUCCAACAAAUCUAGGACACCACGAAAAGGGAAAGAUACCUCAACAGAAGGAUUCUUUUCGAUGAACACUACUACAAAACAUUAAAUAGAUGUCGGCGCUAAAGGCCACCGGAAGUGGUAAAAUCGACACCUAGCUAUAGCGUCUUUCCUACUCACGUGCCCACCCACGCGUCCGUCCACAUGCCAAAUUUCAAAAGACCGGCACCUUUUUCCUCAAAUAGGUGCUAGUUUUUAUUGAAUAUCCAGCACCUUUUAGUACCCAUCCCAUCGGAGUAGUUGACACAGAAUCUUUGUAAGAACCGGAUGUCACGCCCCGAACUAGUCCCGACCGGAACUAGCCCGUGACGCUCCAAUUUAACCUGUUAAUCGAUACCAGUCCCAGAAAACAGUGCUGGUAUCAUAGGGAGACAGAAUAUCACAGCAACAGAGGUCUCUUUAUUAUAGAGUAGAGGUAUAGUCAUGUUGGGCUGCGGACAGAUCCCGAGCUCACAACUGCAUUACAAAAGGAAAACGGAAGCCAGGACUUGGACCAAUCAACACAGGCACGACUUGGGAACUAGGCCGAAACCCUAAAACUCAUCGUAGCCGACUUGCUCCUGGAAGAACUCCUCGUCAGCAGGAUCCACUUCAUCUUCUUCAGCAACUGGGGGGAGAUUAUUUAUAUAGAGCAAGGGUGAGUACGGGAGUACUCAGCAAGCCAGGGGAAAUAAGUGUUUAAUGCAGGCUUCAAGGGAAGGCUGCUGUUUUUGCAAUUGAUUUUAUUUGAACUCUUUUCUGAAAACAACUAAGUGCUUCUCAAACGACACGGAUGAGACAAUGCGUCUCGUCCGGUCGGAGUAUGUGCAAUGUAUCAAUCUUUAGGAUUGCAACACGGUUGGCACCCGGCCAACAGCUUUUCAAACGGCCACCCGGGCCAACAACUUUUCAAACGGCCACCCGGGCUAGCUGAUCCCAUCAGCUGCAGAUUUUUCAAACAUCGAACCCCUUUUCACAACAGCAAUUUCACAAGCAGUAGUCAAACAAAACUACGCUAGGAAUCACCUCACAUCCGCCCAUGACCGUGGGCACGGGUGUUCGAACAGUUUAAUGACCUUUGCAGAGGGGGUACACUUUACCCACAUGACAUUACUAACCCGGAUCAUCCAGCCCGUGGGGAUCAGCCACGUCGGGAGACCUCCAAGCUUUCAUGACAAGGCAUUUCGAAAGCCGACACAGGUUUACCAUAUGCCGACGAGAGGGGUCCCAGACCAACAACAGGUUAGGUCCCAGACCAUACUGUGCCAGGAAGCCCAGGGGUCCUCUCCGACACCACCCCGGCGAAUCCACAUGUCUCUCGGCAUCAAGGCUCCCCCGAUUAGCAAUUUACUCAGCCAGGGGCGUCCCAUUCCACCCAUGUGGUCGUACUUGUCUUAUGUUCGGAUGAAAUUUCCAAGGAAACGGUCCUUAAGUGCAAGAGCGGGAAACCGUACACCCGGUACGUUCCCCGGUCCGCGGUUUUGGAAAUUCAUUUAGUUCGCAAGCACCGACCCAGGUGUCGGGUUUUCCAAGUCUUUUGUAAAACUCCAGUUUUACCCAAGUUGUUACUCAGAUUUUAAGUUUGAGGGCGACCGUCGAUACUUGCACAGAGUGCACGAGUAUCGAGGCGCAACUGGGUGGUUACAAGGGGACAUGGUAUAGCAAUUAACAAAGGAAGGAUCAAAUGCGACAAAUUAGGUAGGUCCGCCAAUCUGCCUUGCAGACGGGACAAACAGAUUAAGUGCGAUCCUAUCAAUGCAUAAUAUUUUGCAAGCAACAUAAAUAAAUUUCAAAUAUAGGCUCAAGAUGUUCAAAGGUGGCUUGCCUUGCUCGAGAUCUGGAGCUUGAUCCUCGAAAUCCUCGCACUGCGGGUCUUCGGGCUCCGGAACUACACGCGAAACGGAACAACUCAACAAACGGCGAAAAUUAAGCCCUAUUAAUGACCUCUAAGCGUGCCAUUAGAUAGAUCUCGAGAUUUGCGGAAUUUUGGAAGUUGAACGGAGUCAAACGGAUUUACGGUUGGGAAGAUAUUGAAUUUCUAAGAUUAUUAAAUUUUUGAUCUAAAGGAAAAGGAUUUAAUUAAAUCCUUUUUGGAAAAGAAAAAGAAAAGAAGGGAGGGAUGGAAUAUAGACUUUUCUCGGACGGCUAGGGCGCGGCCCAAGAGAAAUGGAGCGGUCCGGCCGAGCUAAAUGGGCCGGCCGGCCCAAGGCGGCCCAAACUCGCACGCGCGCGGGAGGGAGGAGAGAGAGAGCCGGUGGACUGGGCUUACCACGCGCGGUCCCGGGUGGGACCCGCUUGUCAGCGGCUCGGCUCACCGUGCGGAGGGAGCACGCGACGCACGCGCGCGGGCGGGGAAGGGACGCGGUGCAUGCGCGCGGUCCGCGGUGGACGCAGGUGCGGCGGGCCCACGCGCAGCCUCACGGCUCGCGGUGGAACGCGCGCACGGGGAGGGACUAACCGGGGUCGGCUCGAUCCGGUCUAGGCUGAGCUGGUGCCGACGUGGCGCCUACGUGGCGGCCACGUGGGCUGGCGGGAGGUAGACGACGACCCAGCCGCGAAUGGACGGCGGGUGGCGGCGGCGAGCGGCGGAGCGAACCACGGUGAUACAGGCAAAAGCGAGCACACCGGGCGGUUGCACGGGACGAGGGGAGACGAGCCAACGGCUCGGAUUCGCCGGAGGUUGCUCGACGGCGGCGGAUUGCGGCGGCGGCAACCGGCGGCGGGAGAGGAGGAAAACGGCAACGAGGUCACGAGAGGCCGAUUCCCGGCGGUGAGAGCAUCUACGCGGCUUCGGGAACUCGACGCUAGCGUCGGAUUGGGCGGAACUACGCCGAGCGAGGCCGGCGACGAGCGGGUGCUACGGAGCUCGGGCGGCGACGGCGGCGAGCACACGGCGAGUGACGGCAACGGUCGGGGCGGCACCGGCUAACUACGGGGAGUCUACUCAAGCUACUACCGAAAGCUAGGGGAAGGAGAUGGAGCGAGGAGGAAGAACGGAGAGAGACACUACCGUGCGGGACGGGGCGCAGUGACGAGAGGCCGACGGUGCGGGAGUGAUCUCUCCGGCCUCGGACCGAGGAAGAGGAAGAAGAGGGCGCGCCCGGAGUCCCCUUCCGCGUCCACGAACGCACCGGCUCUCCCGGCGCUUGGCGAUGGACGGCGGAGGCGAGGCAGAGCACGGGAGCGGCGGCAAUGGUGAGGAGGCGAAUGGGAGAGGAAAGGAAGGGAGGGGGAAGACGGGUUUAAAUGGGCGGCAAUGUCGGUUUGAGAGAGGGGAACCGACAUGGGCGGUCAAGCCGGCGAGCUGGCGCUCCGGCUAGCGUCCAAAGCGGCGACAGGAGGUGACGCCGGCGAGAGGGGAAAAAGAGGAGGAAAAGAGGAAAAGGAGGGGGAGAAAGGGGGCUUGCCCCUUUGCCGAUUCGGGAAAAAGGGGGAGGGGAGCGGGGGCGACGCGGCAGAGAGAGGAGGGGCGCGGCCUCCUUUCCUUGGCGGCUUGCGCGCGGAGUGGCGGGGGCCGGGCGGUGACGACGGCGAUGACGGUGGGAUGGUUUGGAGCGGCGCGACGACACGGGCGACAGGCGCGGGCUGGCGCGGUAGAGGGUGACGGCGGCGGCGACCAGGCGGUCGGCCACUCGGCACGCGCGCGCGGGAAGCAACGGGCGGCGCGGCUGGGCAGCGGGACCGGGCGACGCGGACGGCGCAGACGACGCGGCUCGGGCAGGAAACCACGCGGGCGCGCGCACGCGAACACGGCGUGCGGGAAGCGGCAGCGAGGGAGCAGAGAGGGAAGACUCGGCUCGGCGCGGGCGGCUCACGCGCGCGGGCAGAGCGGAGGGGGAGGGGCGCUCGGCACGACCCUCGCGCACGCGCGCGCGGCGCGCGGGCGGAGCGGAGGAAAGGAGAGAGAGAGAGAGAGAGCGCCCGGGAGAGAGGGGGCCGGGGGAGAGAUGGAGAUGGGCCGGGGGAGAGGGGAAGAUGGGCCGAGGGAAAAUCGGCCCAUCGACCCUGGGGGAGGCAAAAUGGACUUUUACGGAGGAAUUUGAUUUGGAGGGAUUGGAUUCGGAAUUGAACUCGACGAUAGAGCGGGGAUUGAGAUCAUGAGAUGGCACGGGCACUAGACAACAAUCAAAGAAACAACUUUCGCAAUUAGGGUUUUUAGGAGAUAAUUUUCCCGCUAGGCGCCACGACGGAACGGGCGCUACAGACCAACUCCCCUAACAAGAAUCUCGACCCCGAGAUUCAGCACCUAAGGGAGCAGCUCCGGGAACUCGGCGCGGAGAAGAUCUUCUCGCUCCCAGGUUGCCUCAUCUUCAGAAUGAUUGCUCCAUUGGACCUUGUAGAACUUGAUGGUCUUCCUUCGAGUCUGACGUUUUGCCUCUUCAAGAACCUUGAUCGGUCUUUCCUUGUACGUCAGAUUCUUUUCCAGCUCGAUAUUACCCAGGGGGACUUGCUCUUCUGGAACUCGAAGACAUUUCUUUAGCUGGGAUACGUGGAACACGUUGUGCACAUCUGCGAGACCUUCAGGUAACUCAAGCUGAUAAGCCACUUCGCCACGUCUGGCGGUUAUGAGGUAGGGGCCGAUGUAGCGGGGUGCUAACUUGCCGGACAUCCCAAACCUCCUCAUACCACGGAGGGGUGAUACCCGCAGGUAUACAUGAUCUCCUUUUUCGAACUCAAGGUCAUGCCUUCGAUUGUCAGCGUAAUUCUUCUGACGGUUCUGUGCUGUCUUCAAACGUUCUCGUAUCAGCUUAACUUGUUCUUCUGCUGACUUGAGUAUGUCAGGACCGAAUAUCAGCGCUUCGCCCACCUCAUUCCAGCAUAAGGGAGUGCGGCACUUUCUUCCGAACAUUGCCUCGUUCGGCGACAUCUGAAUGCUGGCCUGAUAGCUGUUGUUGUAUGAGAACUCAGCAUACGGCAAACAACGAUCCCAAGUGCCUUCGAAAUCCAGGGCACACGCACGUAGCAUGUCUUCUAGGAUUUGGUUUACCCUUUCUGUCUGACCAUCGGUCUGCGGAUGGUAGGCCGUACUAAAAUUUCAUUCUAUUCUAUUUGGACUUUGUGUCAAGAACCAUAUAAUAAGAGGUUGUAGCUGUGAUUGAAGUAAAGGCUAGGUUUAAUAUAUAUUAUAAAAAAAUACUGAGGAAAGGUGGUCCAAUAUGCAAUUUACUCUUAUUAUAUUGAUCCUAGUGGUUGUUUGGAAUAAUGAAGGCUUAGCAAACACGCAACGAGGAUGUGCUUAAUUUGCUGACAUAUCUCUUCCGUUCUUGAAUAUUGAUCUUUCGUUUUUCUUUCCUAGGGUGACCCACACCCACUAGGAAUCGAAAAACUCUGCACCUGCUGGUAUGCAUGAAUUAUUUAAAGUUGGCUACUUGGCCUUAUAGAAUUCUUUCAGACAGCAUGGAGAUGGAGAAAUUUCCCACCAAAUAUUGACCCAUACCCCACAUGAUUUGGAUGGAUCCCUUGAUCCGAUCACGAAUGCUUAGGUGGACUUUGUUUCUAAAUGUAGAAAUGUUAUUCAGUAACCAUUGUGGUUUGUUCCAUAAACUAAAUUAAGGUUGGGUUUUCUGAUGGCAUAAAAAUCAUCAUUUACAACUGAUUAAAUAUUUAAAAUUUAGUUGUUGAAACACUGAAAUUAUAUAUAUCUUCACAACAAGUUGCACCAAAUAAUAUUGUAUGUAUAUAAAAUACUAAUAAUACAGCCUAUAUGCCAAACUGAUCAGUUGAUCAAUCAAUUAAGGAACUAGUCCACCAAUCAAAGAUAAGACAUGCCUCGUCGGAUCGAUAUAAUCGCCUUAGCCGUCGAGCACAUGAGCAACGUGCUGCGUCCUCCAAUGACUACGAUUCAACGACGGCAACCCCCAAAAAAAAUAGGAGAAAAGAAAAAGAACACGUCGCAUGCAUUCAUGCAUGUACCAAACACAAAAUCAUUAACAAUUAAUCAAUUAAUAAAAAGAAAUGAGAGUGAGGCCAGGAGAGUUUUAUUUUAUCCUAAUUAAUCCGCUCUCGCCGAGCAGAGCCAAGCAUCAUGGCUACUUGCCAAGUUGCCAUGCAAAUUGUAGGAUUAAUAAUCGAUUUAUUUUGCUGACAUCUUGGGAGCUCAUCUGGCUAUAAAUAUAUACCUUGAUCGAUCGCGAGUAAUAUCGCAUCAGCAUUCAACGAACACACACACAAUCGGAAUCGAUUAAGAGAGCAAAUUGUGUAGUAGUGUUGCAUAUGGAGACACCAAAGAUAUCGGGAGUAGCACUUGCGGCAGCCAUUGCCGUCGUUCUGGCCAUGGCGACCACGCCGGCGGUGGCGCAGAACUCGCCGCAGGACUUCGUGGACCUCCACAACGCGGCGCGACGCGUGGAGGGCGUCGGCGAGGUGGUCUGGGACGACGCCGUGGCGGCGUACGCGGAGAACUACGCGGCGGAGCGCGCCGGCGACUGCGCGCUCAUCCACUCCGGCAGCUGGGAGAAGGCCGGCUACGGCGAGAACCUCUUCGGAGGCUCCGGCAGCGAGUGGACGGCAGCGGACGCCGUCAACAGCUGGGUGGGGGAGAAGGAUCUGUACGACUACGACAGCAACAGCUGCCUGGGGUCGUGGGACUCGUGCCUCCACUACACGCAGGUGAUGUGGAGCCGCACGACGGCGAUCGGCUGCGCCCGCGUGGACUGCGACAACGGCGGCGUCUUCAUCACCUGCAACUACAACCCCGCCGGCAACUUCCAGGGAGAGCGCCCCUUCGAGCGUGGCCUCACUCUCUCUGCUUAAUAAGUUAUUAAUACAGUAUUUACUUUAACUAUGUAUGGAGUAUGAUAUAAAUGUGCGAAAUAAUAAUUACGGGGAUCUUAUUAUAUAUAUAUGUACGUUGUCGUUCGAAUAAAAGAAGAAAAUAAAUGAGAAAAUUAAUUCCAUUGUCUGCAUGUAAUUUGAAAGGACGACCAUACAAUCAGAGACUGGGUGGUGCUGUGGUGGAACAGUCCUAGUGGCCUGUCCAGGGGAAACUAAUUAAGAAUUGAUUCUUAGAAGCAGCUGGUUAGUAGACAACUUUUGAGGAUCUGUAAAAGUUGGUUUCCCAGCUUCUAAUUUCUUGUUCAUUUUCUGAAUUCUGGGCCUAUUUGGCAUAGUUCCAUCACCAGCUCCACCUCUCCUAAAACUGGAGCUCAGCCAAACAGUUUCAGCUCCACCUAAUAGCAGCGAAGCUGGGUGGAGCGCUCUCAUAAAAUGAACUAGAGAUGUGGAGCUGUGUUUAGUCAGCUCCACAACUCCACUUCAGACCCAACUACUGGAGUUAAAUUUAGAAGUUGGAGCUCUACCAUGCAACUAUAGCUUCUCAGAAUCUGUACCAAAAGCUAUACUGUUUGGGGGGGAGUUUCUGAUUCUGGGAAAAGCUGCAGCAGCUGGAAGCUCCCCCAAACAGGCCCUAGGUGUCUAUUUGGGAAAAGCUUUUAGCAGCUGCAACUUCUCUCAGAAUCUUUAACUCUCCCUAAACAAUUUAGAUUGUCAUUCACAUUAUAAGAAUUUGUAGUAGAUAUAUAAUUCAGAAAAUGAACUAUAACAAAAAUUUGGAAAACUAACUUUUUCAUAUUCUCAUGAACUGAGAACAAAUCUGUUAAUUCUCACAAUUUUAAGCUCUACCAAAAAGAAUUGAACAUCUGGGCUGACCUAUGGUGGGAAACUACCAAUUGGGGCUAAGUUUGAAUAGGCUUCAUCUGGUCCAACGAAUUACAGCCCACAAACAUGCAUGUAUGAGCUAAUAUUUCAAGCCUACAUAGAUGGGCUGGCGAUGACGCCCAUCUAAUGCCUUCAUCAGGCUAGACUUGAAGCCCGUGAGGAUAGGGUGCGAAACUCCUAUGGCACGAUUGAUUGCUUGGGGCGAUCGGUUCCUCUGCCCUACGCGGUAUUUUUUUUUUGGCACCACUUUACUUUUCUGUUUUACUAAGUUUAUACCCCCGAAGUUUAUACCUAUUAAGUUUACACAUCUAAAGUUUACAUACUUAAAGUUUGUUGACCUAAAAUUUGUAAGUCAAAAGUUUAUAUAUCAGAUUCAAGUUCAUCUUUAAAUGUAUUUAAAUUUAAAUUCAAAUUUGAAUCGGUAUAUAAACUUUUGACCUAUAAAAGAUGUGUAAACCCUAUAAGUAUAAACUUUAGGUAUAUAAACUUAAAAAAACUAUAUGGUGAAAAAAAAAGAAAAGUGGUGAAAAAAAAACUAUAGGGUGUCCAUGUAAAUCGAUCCCAAUAAAAGCAUCAAGGAAGCUCAUAGUGUAUGCAAAGUAAGGGAAAACCUAAUUUUGUAGCUAAGAAAAAAAUAGCUUUAGCUAUAUGGCCGAGGGGUAAAAUAUUAGAGUGCUCAUUACUAAUUUACUUCUUGACAUUACCAUAUACCUUGAAAAAUAACUACUAGUACGUACGUACUAUUUAGAGUUCAAUUUGUUUGUUUGAAAGUUUGUGAAGUGAUACUAGAUAUUGAUCUAUAUUGUUAAUUAUUUUUCAACAAAAUAUAUGAUUAUUAUUUGGAUUGACAUUUAGUUAAGCAACAAGCUGGGGACAUAUUCCUAUAAGAGACAAAGUUAUUAAUAUUUCUCCGCAAUUUGAUAAAUUAAUAUCGACAUGCUAUGAUGUCUGACCUAGUUAGACAUACGUGUAAGAAUUGGUCAGUGGGAAAUCGAUUACUAAUCAAAAUAAUCAAGUGGAUCAAAUUAAGUCGAUCCGGGCAUGUACUUGUUGCUGAUGAACGUCACAGGGUAGAAAGGAAGAAAACACGGCAGGAAAGCAUGGUUACCCAUAUUCCAAUGGAUGCACCCACCUAUAUAUAUAGCUACUAGCCAGUGCACGUGUAACUUUAUUUUUUAUGAAAAAAAUAGUGAUCAAAGAUAGAAUAUUUUUUAAAGUUCGACCACAAAUUUAUGUAAAAAAUUAUCAAUAUCUAAAACACUAAAUUGGUUUUAUUAAAUAUAACAUUAAAUAUAUUUUAAUAAUAUAUUUGUUUUCUGUUGAAAAUAUUACUAUAUAUUUCUGUAAACUUAAUCAAACUUCGAUUUUGAUAAACACCUGGCGAUAAUAAAAUCGACAAAUAUAUGCAGGAUCAGGUGACUAAAAUCAGACAGCUCUUUAUUUAUUACUACCUCCAUAUUUUAAUGUAUGACGCCGUUAACUUUUUGUCUAACAUUAGACUAUUCGUCUUAUUCGAAACAAUUAUGUAAUUAUCAUUUAUUUUAUUGUGACUUGAUUCAUCACCAAAUAUUCUUUAAGCAUGGCAUAAAUAUUUUAUAUUUGGAUAAAAAUUUUGAAUAAAACGAAUAGUCAAACGUUGGUUGAAAAAUCAAUGGCGUCAUACAUUAAAAUACGGAGGGAGUAAUUUGUAAUAAAAAUACACACCGGAUACAUAUAUAUCUGUAUUUGUAGAUACUCAAUACGUCUGCAUCAUGACGUACUUAUUGCAUCCAACACACUGAUCAUGCAUACGCAUGCAGAUCGAUGUGCGUACAUAUAUACAUACGAACAUACAUAGUAGUUCGUACAUAUAUGCGCAUAUAUAUCUACUGAGAGCAGAAAGAUUUAUACGUACAAUAUAUACUAGAGUAGUAGCAAAAUAUAUUCCAUAGCAUAUACGUUACGUACGUACGUAUACGUAUACGUAUACGGUAGCUAGUACGGCCUCUGGUUUUGGACGUUGCCGGCGGGGAAGUAGGUGCAGAUGAAGAAGACGCCUCGGUUGGCGUUGCAGGCGACGGCGGCGCAUCCGACGGCGGUGGUGUCGCGCCACACGACCUGCGUGUAGUGGCCGCACAUGGCGCCGCCGACGCAGCUGUUGCUGGCGUAGUCGUAGGAGCCCUUCUCCGCCACCCACUGGUCGACGGAGCUCGCCGCCGUCCACGCCUGCACGGAGGGGUUCCACGACAGGUUCUCGCCGUACUGAUAGUUGUUGCGAUCGGAGUGCCGCAGCGCGCAGUCGCCGGCGCGCUGGUUCGCGUAGCCCUGCGCGUACGCCGCCAGGUUGUCGUCCCACGACAGCGCCGGGACGCCGACGGCGCUCCGGGCGGCGUUGUGGAUGUUGACGAUGUCGGUCGCCGUGGUCUGGGCCUGCGCCGUCGAUGUGGUGGCCAGAACCACCGCCAUGGCCGCCAUCACCACUGCAAAGCUCGCUCCUCUCUCCAUUGCAAGCUCGCAGUUGAUUUGAUUGGCAGUGUACGUUCGAUCGACUGCGCAAUUAGAGUAGAACUAGAGCUAUAGCUAGCUAGUAGAGGUGAUGAUUAAUACAUGCAAUUUCGGCAGUAUUUAUAGACGGGCUGGCUCUCGAUCGAGCCAUGGACUUAAUUAAGCACAUGGCAAAGAAGAAACGGUAAACGUUGAUACGGCGGACUGGUCCCUAAUUAUUAAGAGAAAGAAAUGGGAGAAGAGCUGAAGAGGUGAUAAGACCAGAAAGUCAUGAACAAAGCACUCAUGGGAAAGUGGAUAAUAUGCGUGGCAAAACUUGUUACUACAGACCAAAUUCUCUUACCCAGAAUGUCUGAAAAUUCUUCAAAUCGGGUGCCCGCGCCUCCGCGCCGAAAAAAAUGGGGCACCGCGCCUCCGUCCACCACGCGCCCCACCACACGCACUGUUGCAAUAAAUCUGCCACAUAUUACGGAAACACUCUAUUAACAGGAAUCCGUUUCAUUUUUUUUUCACCAAUAAUGUUUCAACAAGUAUAUUCGUAUUGUUACACUAUGUAUAGAUCAAAUGUUGCAGAGAAUUGAAACAUCCUUUCGCUAUUUGCUGAAACAUUAUUUUUAUAUGCGGUGAAAUAGCUUCAAAAACCGUUGUUUCAUGCGCUGUAGCAAAAUGUUUUAUGAGGUGAUUUGGUUGUAUUUAAGCUUUUUAAACGAUUGGACCAUUUUCAAUCAACGUAGUGAAACAAUUCCGAUCUAUUUGGUGGAACAACCCCGAUUUUUUUAAAAAAACGGGUGUCCGAUUUAUAUACGCCUCGCCAAAAUGUGUAAAAACAGGAGUGGGAUGGAGUCGAUCAGCUAGGAAAGGAUGUGUCAGAUGCUGGAAACUUUUAGCGCUUCCCAAAGAACAAUACUCUAUGCCUAUUAAAAUACAAAAUAUUUUUUUGGGCAACUAGAACUUAUUUUGAUGGAUGAUUUCUCGAAAGAGCCGUAUGUGAAAAUUAACUUGUACGCGGGGUCAUGAAAUUCGUACCCCAUGCAAAUCCUUAAUUUUUAUAGGCCCUUGGUAGUACAGUUGAUCGAUUCAAAUAAAUGCUGCCGAAAAUAGGUUACGUUUUCUUUACCAGAGUUAAGUAAUUGAGUGAUCAAAGUAGCAGUAAUAUUCUACUCUUUUAUUAAAAUCGGAGGUGUAGUAUGUAAACACCACCUGUUGAUGAGGACAUCACUUCGUCGGAUACGCUCGUAACUUCACACGCUCCAAUAAUAAUUUCAAGUCCAAGACCAGUUCGGCCUCCGGAGACAGCACUGACUUCAAACGGACCUAGCGCCUUCAUGCUAUCUCCGAUUUGGGUGAUCUUGGACUUCGUGGAAAUCUUAUCUCGCUACCUUUCAAACGCAUCCGGUUUCAUGUCCAAAUUCAUCUCGAGUCAACGGGAAUCACCAAAAUAAGACAGUGCUGUUGCUGAAACCGAACUUGGGCCUUGGGCCUUGUAAUAGACUAGGCCCAUCCCGGAAGUGUCUCCCUCCACCUCCACAAAUUAGCACUUAACCCUAGCUUUAUUUUCCUCUAUAAAUAACUUUGUAUAUCCUCAAAAACAAUUGGGUUUUGUUUAGUUGAAUUUUGCCAAGUGCCAUUCACCUUGUCUCUAGUCCUCGCUCGAUUAGUCGGCGACUAUAGAUUCAGAGCCCCCAAUAGUUGGUGUGUUGAUUUGCCGGGUCGAUUAGAUCUACCACUUCAAUCGCAACUAUUCCUUUGUGCUUAAUUCCCUAUUUGCAAUAUUUAGAUUGCAUCUUAUCUUGUUCUUGCAGUGUUCUCUCGUUUGCAUUGCAGGGAUCAUCAACCGCGCGUCACGGUUGGUACGACAUCGUUUGUGGUGUAGCGAUUGCACGGCGUCCUGGAUUUGUUCUGGUUGGUAGCCACAUCGCAAACGUCGCACUCGAUCAAAGCGAGAGUUAUCCCCCUCACCAGAAGAUCGGGCCACGAGAGAGAGCGUCAUCAGUUGGUAUCAGAGCUUCAGUUGCUUGGUGAGGAUUUUAGUUUUGUAAUUUUUUUCCCAUCGUCUACCAUACAGCCGCAAUAUUUUUUUCCAUCACCAAACUUUAGUUUGAGCCUUUCAAAUUUCAUUCAGUAUUGUGUUCUUGAGUUUUGGUCCAUUGUCGUGUCGAAAGUGCUGGUUUUAGUCGUAGCUCAGUCUGAGUUUUGAGCUUUGCAUUUGGUCGUCGUCGUCUCGGUUGAGCAGUAGAUCGGUUUGAGAGAAAAAAAAUCCAGAGUUUCUGUUGGGUGAGAUUUCUUUCCAGUGCAUGCAUGCAUGGAAUCGCGGUACGUGGUUACCAAAUAAAUAGCGCCUCAAAUCAGGGACUAAUCUUGGUUAUUUCCUAGUUAGUUUCUGUGUCUAUCCGAAGUGCAUGUGCCAAGGAUCGGUUUCCAUAUUCCUGGCACCACCCAAAUAGGAGGUACGUAGUUUUCUCUGUAACUACACAUUCACACGCACAAGCACCUGGUUGGUUGGUCUUUGGUCAUUUGAUUUUUUUUUCUUCUAGGCUUGAGUCCUUUGUAAUCUUAUUUACCAGCUAUUCCAUUUGGUAGAUACCGCUUGCCAAAAAAAAAAGAAAUAAAGAAAAGGCAGAAGGUGCAAAAAAAAAAAGAAAAAAAAAGAAAAAAAGAGCCGCACCAAAGAAAAAACAGAAAAAAAGAGAAAAAAAAUCAGAAAAAGAAAGAGUGGAAUUUUUUUUGUUGGAAUCUUGGAGAGAGUUGCUUACUAUAGCGAGUUGUGGAUUGUCCGAGUGUGAUCAUUUGCUUGCUUAAGCUAGGAUUGAGUCUAGGCUACGCCAGCAAUUUUGACUAGUACUUUGGACUAUUAUUCAAUUUCGCAAAUCUGUUUGAUUUUUGCUAUUCCUUGUGAUAUAGUUAAGCCUACCAAGAUCCACAUACUCCUAACCUUUACAGGUCCGGCCUUGCAAUUGCUCCACUCAUCAAGCGUGUCAUUGUGCCACGAACCAGCCACGGUGAUUGACCUGUUUUGCAUUCUUUGAGAAUAUUAUAAGAAUUUGGUAUAUGCUUGAGUGUUGAGUGCCUUCAAAAGCUCCACAUAUAUAUAGAUUGUUAGGAACUGACACUUUCUUGUGAGUUUCUUUUGCUUGCUAACGAUGUCAGGUACAAGUUCCGACGAACCAACACUGGAGAAUCUAGCGCAUAAACUGAAGGGUAUGGAAAAUUGGUAUGAAGAGUUGAUGCGUAAUAGUAAAUCAUACAAGGAAAGCACAGAUAAACAUUUAAAAACCUUAAGUGAAAGCCUGGUGAAAGUAGUGGAUCAAAUUGAGAAAAUGAAUCAAUCACAUAAACAAUUAACUGAAAACAUUCAGAAUAUGAUUAUUGAACAUGAAAAUAUUGUGCGACGCAUUGGUUUACUUGAGGCUGCAGGUGAAGAAGGUGCAGGUGCCACUGCUCAUCGACACCAAAUAUAUGACGAUGAAGACGAAGAGCAAUCUGUUGCUGAUGAUGUGGAGGAAGACGAGAGUGUUGGAAAUAGAAGACAACGUCGAGUUAGGGACAAAGAUGAUCCUUUAUCUAAGGUAAAAUUUACUAUGCCUUCUUUUGAUGGUAAGUUUGAGCCUUCUGUUUAUCUAGAUUGGGAGUUAGCUGUUGAGCAAAAAUUCUCUUGCUAUGAUUUUCCUGAUAAUAAGAAAGUUAAAGCUGCCAGUAGUGAAUUUACCUCCUUUGCAUCUCUAUGGUGGAAUAAUAUAUGUGGUAGAGGACUUAGACCUAGAACAUGGGAUGAUAUGAAACGUACAAUGAGGUCUAGAUUUGUUCCUUCUUACUAUGCUCGUGACAUGUUAAAUAAACUGCAACUUUUAAGACAAUGUUCCAAUUCUGUAGAAACAUACUAUCAAGAGAUGAUGAUUGCUUUGUCACGAUGUGAUUUGCAAGAAACUGAGGAUGCUAGAAUUUCUAGGUUCUAUGGAAGUCUUAAUAGAGAGAUUCGGGAUAUUCUUGAAUAUAAAGAAUACAAUACCAUGAAUAGAUUAUUCCAUUUUGCAUGCAAAGCUGAAAGAGAAGUGCAGGGACGCAACAAGCAUAGAAGUUCUUUUGCAGGUGCUACUUCCACACGACAGUCAACACCACGUCAAGCUACUACUGCCGUUCGUUCACCUACUUCUACGCCAUCCAAUGCUCAAGAAAAAAGCAAAAACGCUUCAGUUCAGACUCCAGCCAAGAGUGCAACUUCAGUAGCUUCCACUGGACGUACCCGUGAUAUUACAUGUCAUAAGUGCCAUGGCAUUGGACACAUUGCACGUGACUGUCCAAAUCGGCGAGCUCUAUUUGUGAAUGAUGAUGGUGAGUAUACUUCUACUAGUGAUUGUGAUGAUGAAUAUGCUUUAGCUGCCACUGACCACGCAGGAGGACAAGAUAAUGAUGACAUCGAGGAAGUCCAUUUGCAUCCAGAGUCGCUAGAUCAGUAUCCUAGCCUAAUUGUCAAGCUAGCACUUAGUGCUAAAGAGAAGUGUGAAGAGCAAAACCAAUGUCACAAUUUGUUCCAAAGCAAAGUUCUUGUGAAAGACCAUACCGUCAAAAUGAUUAUUGAUAGCGGGAGUUGCAACAAUUUAGCAAGUGAAGAGAUGGUCAAGAAGCUUGGCUUGACUACCCAUCCACCUCCACGAAUUAGCACUUAACCCUAGCUUUAUUUUCCUCUAUAAAUAACUUUGUACAUCCUCAAAAACAAUUGGGUUUUGUUUAGUUGAAUUUUGCCAAGUGCCAUUCACCUUGUCUCUAGUCCUUGCUCGAUUAGUCGGCGACUAUAGAUUCAGAGCCCCCAAUAGUUAGUGUGUUGAUUUGCCGGGUCGAUUAGAUCUACCACUUCAAUCGCAACUAUUCCUUUGUGCUUAAUUCCCUAUUCGCAAUAUUUAGAUUGCAUCUUAUCUUGUUCUUGCAGUGUUCUCUCGUUUGCAUUGUAGGGAUCAUCAACCGCGCGUCACGGUUGGUACGACAUCGUUUGUGGUGUAGCGAUUGCACGGCGUCCUGGAUUUGUUCUGGUUGGUAGCCACAUCGCAAACGUCGCACUCGAUCAAAGCGAGAGUUAUCCCCCUCACCAGAAGAUCGUGCCACGAGAGAGAGCGUCAUCACCUGUACGCACACAAGUUGCCUGAUUUUUUUUCCUAGUGGACACACUCGUGUGUAAAAAGGAUAUGCUUUGCUAGCUACUUCCUCCGUCCCAAAAUAUAACUAUUUUUUAUUUCGACAUAGUUUUCGAUAUGCUAUUUUGAUUAAUAAUAUCUAAAAAGAGUUGUAUAUUAUGAUAGUUCGUUUAAUGAUAAAUCUAGUAACAUCAAUUUUAAAUGAUGUAUUUUUUUAUUAUUUUAUUAAUAGUUAAAGUUAAAAAUGUUAGACUAGUCUAUAAAUAUUUUUAUUUUGGGACGGAGGUAAUCCCAGACAUAUGCUUUUUUCUAGAUAAUGUGACAUGGAUAUGUAGGCCAGAAAAUUAAACAUCAAGUUGCUAAAGAAAGUAUGAGGAAGGUAACGUAAGUAUGUGUGCCAAGACUAAAGAAGUGUGGAUCCAUGCAUAUAUGGCUAGUUUGCUACAAUUAAUUGACCACUUAUAAUUAACUUUAGUUACAUUAGUAGGAGUAGUUAGGAUUAAAAAAACUAGAGUAAAAUACAGUAGCGGCCCUUAAACUUGAGGGCGGAUGUCAUCCAGGUCCAUUAACUUGCAAAUCGUGUAAUUAGACCACUAAACUUGCUAAAUGUACCAUCGCCGGUCCAAAAUGCCAUUUGACCGCGGUCGCGCCGACGUGGCAUGCCACGUGCACAGCUGAGCUGGACCACACCGUGCGUGACACACCGCCCACGCCUUGUCGUUUUUCAUCCAGGCCCCUCUCUUUUUCUCAUUUGGUUUCCACCACUGCUUCUUCUUCCCUGAAGCGCCCAAAAUCUAAGCGCCGACUAGGGUUGCGAUUGAGGGCAAGUUUCGGCGGCGGAGCAGGUUGCGGCAGGUUCGUCGGCGGAGCAGGUCUCGGCAGGGUUCGGCGACGGAGUAUGUCGUGGCAGGGUUCUUUGGCGGAGCAGGUCUCGGCGGGCUUCGGCGGCGGAGCGGCUGGGUUGAAGGCGAUGGCAGGCUCGAGCUCCAGUUGGAGCACAACACGGUGGGCGACAGAAAUAUCCAGGCAAGGUAAAACCUUUCCAUCUCCCAUUCGGUACCUGGAGAGUACUUUGUUGAAGUCAGUUGGUUUAUUCAUUUUGAAUGUGCAGAAUGGUGGAUGCAAAUUACGGCAGUGGUAUGAACCAGGGACAACGUCGUAUUUGAAGCAGGUUUUGAAUGAUUUAGUCAGCACUGUUCGUGAAGUGAAGACAGAGAACUCUGAAAUUAGAGCAUCCCUUGCCAACUCAAGAGCUAUGAUUGAUGGACUUGUCACUGAACGCAAUGUCUAUGAAGCAAAGAGCAGGGGACAAAAAGAGGAAUGUGGCUCAGUUACUAAAAUGGCCUAUAGAAUCAAGAUGUUAGAAGAGAGUAGAAGAUCUAUGUUGUCAGUUAUUGUUGGUUUUGUAGUAGUCAUAUUUGCACUAUUGCUUCUUAGGUAGAUACCAAAGUUUGAUGGAUAUGGAUGUAUUGGUGCUGGUGUGUUUUGUGUCAGCUGAAAUAAGGCACUUGAGUGACCUUUUGUGUAUGCUGAAUCUGAACCAUGUAUGGAAAAUGUAUGCUAAAUGCUAUUAUGUGAAGCUGAAAUCUGAGAUUUUGUUCUGAAAAUCGACAUCUCUAAUUUUUUUCAGCAGACAACUGUUAUUUUGUUCUAGCAUAUGAAAUGUCCUGUAAAACUGUCAUAUGGAAAUAGCAAACAUGCAUCAUGCAUUACAGGCAGUAAUUUCGCAUAUUCAUCACAAUACCAAAUUUCUGGCAUUUAGUAGUAUUUCCAGUACUACAUUUAGUGAACACAUGUCUGGCAUCACAAAAAUCCCAUGUUCUAUCACAAAAUAGCCACAAGUUUGGCAGCACAAAAUCAAGCAAGCAUGCCCAUGAAAUCCAUACAAGGUUGAAAUUUUUGCAUAACAAAGUACUACUAACACUAAAGGACCAUCAAACAUAUGGUCUAACACAUAUCACUUGUUUGUAGCAGUAGCUUUCUUCCUGGGAGCUCUGUUCUUUGAAGUAGUAGCAGCAACUCCUGAAACUCCUUCAGUUGUACACUUCCUUUUGUUGGCCCUAGAUUUUCCCUCUUUUGUUGCUGUGGUCAUAGGGGUAGAUACUACAGCUGGCUGGUUUGAAAGAAUGUACUGGUUAUCUGGGAGAGGACCAUGUGUAGUUUCCAUUUGACUCACUUGUGAUGAUUCCUCAAACAUCUGUGCAACCAUAGGAUUAGGAACUUGUGAUAGUAAUUGGUCAUAUGCAGACUGAGAUUGGGUCAGCACCUACAAGUUUACAAAGGUAAUUAAGAUAGAGUUAUAAUUAAUAGGGUACUGAUAAUAGAGUGAUAAGAUAGAGUAUUGUUUCAUUACCUCUACUGGUUCUUGCUCAGAUUCAUGCAACUCUUCUGUAGAACUUGCAGCUGGGGUCCUACUUGUCUUCAGUUUGGGUUUGAGUCCAGCCUUUCUCAGUGGGCACCCUUUCUUGUUAUGUCCAGGCUCUUUGCAGUAAGAGCAGUGCAUCUCCACACCAUGCUUGGACAUUUUAGGCCCAUUUUUUCCCUGUACCUCAUGUGGUGCUUUCCUCCUAGACUUAUGUGGUCUGCCAACCUUUUUCUCAUAUAUUGGAGGCUUCACUUCUGGCCCAUUCACCUGAGCCCACUUAGUCAUAUCAUUGCAGGGCCAAAUGUUAAAUGCAUAUGCUCUGGAGAAUGCUUCUAAACUAUAGCAGGGUGGAAGAACUGACUCGGCACUAAUUCUCUCACUCCUUAAGCAUGAGAUAGCAUGGUUACAAGGGAUGCCUGUUAGAUCCCAUCUCCUGCAGUCAAAAUGUUUAGCACUAAGGUCAACAAUGUACUUGAAAUUCCUAUCUUCCACCUGAAAAAUCCCUUUCCCGGCUGGCAAAACAUAACAUGUGUUUGCCAUAUCUGCAUUUUUCAGUACUUUCUUCCUGAUCUUGGGGCAUAUAGGCCCAUGCCAUUGCUCUGCCACUUCUUUCUGCUUACUGUAAUGCCUACUCAUUACUUGGCUUUUGAUCUUUUCAAACAUACUCAGGAUUGGCAAUUCCCUAGCUUCUAAGAUGUACUUGUUGAAUACUUCACAAUUAUUGUUCAACAAGAUAUCACACUUAGGGAAUUCACUGAAAUAAGCUCUGACCCAAGUUUUAGGAGGCAUCUUUUGAAGCCACUCAUAUGCAUCCUGAUUAAGAGAUUUCAUUUCUUCCAUGUUGGCAUUCCACUCAACCUCUGAACUUGAUCUAGCACAUGCCCAUAACUGGUUUUUCAGAUUCUCACCUUUGAAAUGUACCUGAAAAUUGGAGUACAGAUGUCUAACACAAAAUCUAUGUUCUGAAUCAGGGAAAAUCUGUUGGACAGCUGGUAUAAGACCCUGUAUCAUGUAAAAACAAACAUGGAAUUUGAAAUAUGUCAGAUUAUAAGAACAAAACUUAUAAGACAAAAAUAAAGAACAAGUAUACCUUUUGCUUAUCAGUCAUUAUUGUCCAUGGGUAGGUAUUGUCAAUGCCCAGGUCUUCCUUUAGGGUAUAUAGAAACCAUGUCCAAGACCUCAAUGACUCUUUCUCAACCACAGCUAUUGCAAUUGGAUAUAUGCAAUCAUUAGGGUCAAUGCCUACUGCUGUUAGGAUUUGUCCACCAAAUUUAGUCUUGAUGUGGCAACCAUCCAAACAUAUCAAAGGCCUACAUCCACUCAGAAACCCUCUCUUACAUGCAUCAAAGGACAUGUAAUAUGUGCUGAAACAACUGUCUACCAGGUUCAAAAAGAAGCAACUGCCUGGAUUAGACCUUCUUAGCUCAGCCCCAUAGUCCCACAACUAAUUAUAUUGUUGAAUCUCAUCACCAUAUAUGGCCUUGAAGGCCAAUCUCCUUGCCCUGGCUAGCUUGCUUCUAGAUGGAGUCAGAUUCCAUUCUAAUUGGACUAACUUUGCAAACCCUCCAAGUGUCAUCUUAUCAUUUGCUCUAAAAGUUUCAAUGUACUUCUCAGAUAGCCAUUUAGCAGUACACCUUUUCAGCACCCAUUCCUUCUGACAUUUAUGCUCCCCAAGAUAUGUCUUCACCAUCAUUGACUUGGACCUGCUAUCAAAUGAUGCAUAUAAGUUCCAUGGGCAACCCUCAACACAGUGGGCCCUAAGUCUUUUUUGCUCAUUCCUAGGUAUCUUGAUGUCCACUCUAGCCUUCAAACUGUACUCUGUUAUGGCCUUUCUAAGUACUUCUACUGAAGGAAACACCAUGCCAACCUUAAAAACUGGGUUCUUAACAUCCUCUGCCAUGAAAGCCUUGAACUUUAAUCUCACUUCACCUUCAUCAUCUGAAUCUGGGAGCUGCAAAUCUUCAUCAUCAGUGGAAACUUCCUCCCCAUCAGAAUUUCUAACUACUAUUUCUUUCCUCUUCAACUGACUGCCCUUAGCUUUCUUCCAAGACUUUGCCUUGCAGUCAGAUAAGUCUUCAACACCCAUAUCAACAUUGUCAACAUACAAGUCAUCAUCUGCAUCUGAUAUAUCAUAGUCACUGUCCACAAAAUCUGUGUCAUCUUCUAAGCUACCAUCACUGUCACUGUCAUCUUGUUUGUUUGGCACCUUCCUAUCAGCAGUUGGCAUCUUCCUAGGACUAAGCACCCUAGGCAAUUCACUAAUAGGAUUAGCUACUACAUCAUCCCAAUCUACACCUGCAAUUGUGUCACCCUGAUCAAAGUAGAUAAUAAAAUUCUUAACCUUGUGCACAACUGAUUUCAUCACUUCAAAGUCAGCCCUAGUAGAUAUAACCCUAAGGCCAUCUUCAAGAGUCCUUCCAGGGAGCAACCAAUAAGCCUUAAAAUCUGGAGUCAUAUCAUACCCAAGCAUAGCUAAAAAUUCAUCCAAACAAACAAUAUCCCAUGUUCCUGCUUCACAGUGGUCAAUCCAAUUUAUUGUUUGAUCUACAUAUGCCCUGUUGCUACUUUGACCAACAAAAAAACCACCAUGGUGUACCUCAGCGGUGAAUUUACCAUCAUCAGGACCUGCAUUGCAAUCCUAAUUAGCUGUAUUACUCUCAUGUUCUAGCCUACUCGAGAACAAUGUCAGGAUAAUCAUCCUACAGGGAAAAAUAACAUCUUUUUUGCAUAACAAACGCCUUAUUCCUUUGUAUCUAUCUACCAACAUCAAUCAGUGCAUGCUAACCCUGCAGAUUAAUGGACGAACGAAAUUUUGAAGUUAUACUCACUGUACAACGGAGGCCCUUCCCCUUCCAGGCGGAAAAUCAUGCCUCCUCCCCGCGAUUAUGGUCGGCGGGAGGCCGCAACAGCCAAUCGAUCUCGCCUCUUUGCGCUUCCGUUGGAACCCUAUUUCUCCGGCGAUCACCCCCCUCACGAUCUCCGCUGCACUCUGCGCUAGGGCACUCCGGGGAAGACGAAGCAGCAGUGGAUGACGAAAGAAAAUGAGAAAAACAGAGGGGCCUCGAUGAAAAAAAAACAAGUGUGGCCGGUGACACACACGGUGCGCGUGAGAAAAGGCACGGUGCGGGCCAGCUCAGCUGUGCACAUGGCAUGCCACGUCGGCGCGACCACGGUCAAAUGACAUUUUGGACCGGCGAUGGUACAUUUAGCAAGUUUAGUGGCCUAAUUACACGAUUUACAAGUUAAUGGACCUAGAUGAUAUCCGCCCGCAAGUUUAAGGGCCGCUACUGUAUUUUACUCAAAAAACUAUACUAGAGGUAAACGUGUGACAGUACAAGACCAGUCAAAGUCUUUCCAACGUCUCUCGCAUGCUGUACGUACGUACUAUAACACGUAGUAGUAGAACCGUACGUACGUCUUCGUGAGUUAGGUAAUUAAUAUGCGGCUACACGAGAGGAAAAGGCCAAGGAAAAUCAUUGGAAAGUUCAUUGCAACGUGCCAAAUAUUAAUAUUGCCUCUGUGCAUGCUCAACGUUAUAUCUUGUGCCUCCAGCUGGGCAUAUAUUAUGGUAUGAUCCUUAAUUUUAAUCUUGAAAGAAACUACCUUUUUACCAUUUCUUUAAUUCUUUAGAUAAGAAAAAGAAAAAUAUUCUCUAGAAACCAUAUCUGUCACGGUAUCCACCUUGUCAUCGGCUAUGUCAGUGUUACUCGAAGCUUUAUUUCUAAUUAAGGGUAUCUUUACUCUAUGUGUGUGUGUAUAUUGAUAUUUCUCAACCAGGUUAUGAAUAGGGCCCACUAUUGUUGUUGUAACUUUAAGUAUUGCAUUAGAGUUAGAAAAGGGAUGAACCUAGCUUUGGGUUAAGCCCUCAACCGGUUCGUGGAGUGUUGUGGAAAAAAAUGGUGACGGUUACCUCUGACGAACGUCCUCCGUCAAAUGUGAGUAAAGUCAUCAGCGACCACUAAUCUCUGACUAGGACCAAAACACGUCAAAGGUGACGGUUUGAAUACCGUCAGAGAUGACCUGAUUCGGCGUAGUGUGCAUAGCUUUAUAUGAGCCUGUACUUAGGCCUUGAGCUAUGGCCGAGGUAGCCCGGUUAUGAUCCAUCAUUGGUUGGGAGCCAUCACAACUUUGAAAGACACAUUUUCGGAUAAUGUGAUAUGGAUACAUAUGCACACACACUAGAAUACUAGAUGAUACCCCGUGCAGUGCAGACGGAAUAUUGGUGUGUGCAAUGCAGUUGUAAAAUUUCAAUACGUACAUACGAGAAAGAUUAUAUAUACACGCUGAUAUGAACUAUAGAAGUGUCAUCCAAUGUGUUGUCAAGUGAUGGUGUAACUUCUUUACAGUAAUAACGUUCUACGCUAGCUAAGUAAAUCACUGAAUGCUAAGUUAUUUACUAAUUAGUGAUGAAUAGUAGCUACAAAAUGGAUUAAGCAUAGGAAUGAUCCAAUAUAUGGCUCUCUUUUUUUAAAAUUAUGUGGUUUAAUGCAUGUUGAGCUAUUGGCUAUAGGAUAUAUAAAUAAGCCAGAAAAAUAAACAUCAAGUUGCAUUCACUACCUGCCCAGAUGAAGAAAGUAUGCAGCUGAGCUGUGUGCCAAAGACUAUUAAAGUACAGUGUGAAUACAUGCAUGGAAAGUUUGCGACAAUUGACCACUUAAUUAUAUUUAGUGGAAGUAAUUAACAUCUACUAGAAGCAACGUGACAGUGCAGGACCAAGUCUAAAGUGUCUUUCCAACCUCGAUCUCUCGUAAUCGAGCUUAGCUAUAGCUCUCAUGAUUUAACUGCUAUAAAUACCUCAGCAAGCAACAAGUCUCAGCACAAGACAUUAAUUAAUUAGCUUGAGAAACUCAUCUGCUGGAUCGAGCUUCUCUGUUAAUUAAUGGCGUCGAAAGCCUUUGCACUCGUGCUGCUGGCGGCGGCGACGCUGGCCAUGGCGGCCAGCACGGCGGCGGCGCAGAGCUCGCCGCAGGACUUCGUCGACGCCCACAACGACGCCCGCCGCGGCGAGGGCGUCGGCCUCCCCGACGUGGUGUGGAACACGACGCUGCAGGCGUUCGCGGAGAGCUACGUGGCGGUGCUCGCCGCCACCUGCAGCCUCGACCACUCGAACAGCGUGCAGCUGGGCUACGGCGAGAACCUGUACAUGGGCGGCGCCGGCAGCGCGUCGACGGCGGCGGACGCGGUCGGCUUGUGGAUGGAGGAGAAGGCGGACUACGUGUACAGCAGCAACACGUGCACGAGGGGGGCGCUGCUCGACUGCGGCCACUACACGCAGGUGGUGUGGCGGAGCACGACGUCGAUCGGCUGCGCGCGCGCCGCCUGCAGCAACGGCGGCGGUGUCAUCAUCAGCUGCAACUAUUUCCCGCCCGGCAACUUCCCCGAUCAGCGCCCUUACUAGUACACUAUACUUACUACUACAUGAAUGUACGCAUCAGAUAUAUAUUUAUAUGAAUAAAUUAAUCACGUUCAUGUAUGUAUAACAUAUACAGUACCAUAUUCGUACUUACUAUAAUAAGUAAGGCAAAUUUUUCUACGCGGCAUCGCAGUUGUGUGGUUUUAGCCUAGGGACACCGAAAAACAAAGCUUUGGGGGAAAGACACUACAUAACCAUAGAUAUUUAUCGAUGAGCACCGUGCCGUCUAAAUGAAACUUGCCAUGCUGACGUGGCGGUUCAGGAGCCCUUUUUUAAUGUGGUUGGACCGAAAUGCCCUUGCGCCUUAUCUCCCUUGAGGGAGUAGCCGGUCAUGGUGAAGAACCCCUCGGUGGCGUAGAUGAUGGGGCAGUCCGGGCGCGUCGCGUCGGAGACGACGAACGUCUGCUGCAGGCUGGACAGCGCGUCCUUGACCUCCAGCGACACCCACGCGGCAGCCAGUCUUACGACGCGCGGCCGCCGCCGCGCGCCGCCGUCCACUGACGACUUGCAUGCCGCUCCCGUCCCCGACGUGCCGCCGUUGUCGCACCACGCCGCCGCCACCGGACGCCAAGCCUGCUGCUGCUGGGCGCUGCUUCCGCUAGAGCCCUCCUCGGCAACGAUCUCCAAGCCGGCGGCGGUGGAGAUGGGGAACGCCAUCCACUUCUCCACCGCGUCCACUAUCUCCUUCGAGCUGCUGGCCGCCAUGGAUGCCGACGAGAUUGUCCUCGGCUAUUAUCAGCAAAGGUGUAACAAUCUUGGCAGUGCAACUGCCACUGGUGGAGAAACCAUCUUUCGUCGGUCGGGCUAAUUCCACAAUAGUCCCGGUUGCAACAAAAACCGGGACUAAAGAUCAUCUUUAGUCCCGGUUAAAAAGGGUAACGGGCAUAUUUGAUCUACACCAACCGGGACUAAAGAUCGUAACUUUAGUCCCGGUUCAAAUGCUGUAAGGGCCUGUCAGGUCCCCCGGGAUCUUUAGUCCCGGUUAAUAACACCAACCGGGACUAAAGAUCGUAACUAAAGAUCACAGCGAUCUUUAGCCCCGGUUCAUAACACCAACCGGGACUAAAGUCUCACCCCUAUAUAAAUGUCUUCUUCCUCCUUCAGCCCGAGCAAGCUUCAAAAUUUCUUCAAAAAAGAGGGGAGGUCAUGCCAAAAUUUCUAGUAAAUUUAUUUUGGUGAUUAUAUACAAAUCAGAGGUGCCUAAAAGGUUAGCAACUUCAUCCUCCAAUGUUUUUUUUUUCAUAUUACAUUUGGAGCUAUGUUUUGCACACAUUUUUGUGACCAAAAUUUUGUUGUUAUUUGAUGAGAGAGAAAAUUUGUGUGGAGAAUAAAGAAUAUAUAGAAAUUUAGUUUAUUUGCUAAAGAAGGUUUUAUAAAAAAGUUGAGAAGGAAAAUAUAGUGAAAGUUAAUCUUGAAUAAUAGAAAACAAAGUAAAAUGACAAAUUAAAAUAAGUACAACACAUUAAUAUUAGUUUAAAACUUUAUAAAUAGUAAAUAUAUAAUUAUUCGGUGUAAUAUUUCAUAAUAUUUGUAGGAAUAAUGAUAUGUCAUUAUUGUGUGACUGUUGAAAGAGUUUGUAAUUAUUUUAUAAUUAUUGUAUGACUGUCAUUAUUGUACGAAUAAUUAUGUGUGUACGAUUUUUUUUCAUGUUAUGUAGAUGGAUCGGCAAUGGAUGUACGCUGACCGGUGGUCCAAAGAGUUUAUUGACGGCGUGCAUUAUUUUUUGAGAGUGGCCGAAGCUAACAUGCAAAAGGGUUUUAUUUGUUGUCCAUGCAAUAAGUGUAAGAAUCAGAAGGAGUAUUCUGCAUGCAGGACUAUUCAUUUCCACUUGUUUGAGUCGGGGUUCAUGCCAAGCUAUAAUUGUUGGACAUCCCACGGAGAGCAAGGUGUUGAAAUGGAAGAAGAUGAAGUGGAAGACGACAAUAUUCCGGACUUUGCUCAGUACGCUGGAUUUGAAUGAAAUCAAACGGGCGAGGAGGAAAGGGAUGCUGAUGGUAACAACAUUGCGGAUGAUCUUGGUCAGAUGUUGCAGGACGCCAUGGAGGAUUGCGAAAGUGAAAAGGGGGCCCAUAAAUUGGACAAGAUGUUAGAGGACCAUAGAACGUCGUUGUACCCAGGUUGCGAGCAGGGGCACAAAAAGUUGGAUACCACUCUGGAGUUCUUGCAAUGGAAGGCAAAAAAUGGUGUUAGUGACAAGGCAUUUGGCGAUUUAUUGAAACUCGUUAAGAACAUUCUUCCGGAGGGAAACAAGUUGCCCGAGACAACGUACGAGGCUAAGAAGAUAGUGUGCCCUCUAGGACUGAAAGUUCAGAAGAUUCACGCAUGUCCGAAUGAUUGUAUUCUAUAUCGCGGUGAGGAGUACGAGAACCUAGAAGCAUGCCCUGUUUGCAAAGCACUACGAUAAAAGAUUAGACGAGAUGAUCCAGGAGAAGUUGACGGGCAGCUAACGAAGAAGAGAAUUCCUGCUAAGGUGAUGUGGUAUUUCCCUAUAAUAUCACGGCUAAGGCGUUUGUUCAGGAACAAGGGGAACGCUAGAAUGAUGCGGUGGCACGCUGAAGAGCGUCAACAGGACGGGAUGCUGAGACACCCCGCCGAUGGUUUGCAGUGGCGAAACAUCGAUAGAAAAUUUAAAGACUUUGGAAAGGACGCACGAAACAUACAGUUUGGUUUAAGUACGGAUGGCAUGAAUCCUUUUGGAGAGAUGAGCAGCGGCCACAGCACUUGGCCCGUUACGAUAUGUAUCUACAACCUCCCCCCGUGGCUAUGCAUGAAGAGGAAGUACAUAAUGAUGCCGAUUAUAAUUCAAGGGCCCAAGCAACCUGGUAACGACAUCGAUGUGUACCUAAGACCACUGGUCGAAGAUCUUAAACUGUUGUGGAAGAAGGAAGGUGUCCCCGUGUGGGAUGAGGACAAACAGAAGGAGUUUAACCUACGAGCGCUGCUGUUCGUAACCAUCAACGAUUGGCCUGCACUUAGCAACCUAUCCGGGCAGUCCAACAAGGGGUACAAGGCUUGCACUCACUGUAUGGAUGAAACAGAAAGUACGUAUCUUAAGUACUGUAGGAAGGUUGUGUACAUGGGUCAUCGUCGAUUCCUUGCAGCAAACCAUCCGGUUCGGAAGAAAGGCAAGCACUUUGAACAUAAGGCGGACCACCGUACGAAGCCUAAACAUCGCAGCGGAAAAACAGUGUUUGCUAUGGUUAAAGAUCUUAAAGUAGUGUUUGGAAAGGGGCGUGGCAGCCAGCCUAUAGAGAGCGAAGAUGGUCACGCGGCGAUGUGGAAAAAGAACUCUAUAUUUUGGGAGUUAUCCUAUUGGGAAUUCUUGGACGUCCGCCACGCAAUCGACGUGAUGCACCUCACUAACAAUCUUUGCGUAAACCUUCUUGGCUUCCUAGGUGUAUAUGGAAAGUCGAAAGAUACACUGGAAGCACGUAAUGAUCUAAAGCAUAUGGAACAACGCGGUGACCUUCACCCAGAACCAAAGGAGAAAGGAAGCCAUUACUUGAGUCUAGCCAGCUACACUCUUAGCAAGGCAGAGAAGGAAAGUACGUUUGAAUGCUUGGAGAGCAUCAAGGUACCGUCUGGAUACUCCACGAAUAUAAAGCGAAUAAUAAGCACGAAGGAGAAGAAGUUCACAAACCUAAAGUCUCAUGACUGUCACGUGUUGAUGACACAGCUGCUACCAGUUGUAAUAAGGGGUAUCCUCCCAGACAAUGUCCGGGCAAUAAUAACAAAGCUAUGUGCUUUCAUGAACGCAAUUUCGCAGAAGGUCAUCGAUCCUCAUAGAUUAGAAGCCCUGCAAAAUGAUGUGGUGCAAUGUCUUGUCAGCUUUGAGUUGAUAUUUCCACCUUCAUUUUUCAAUAUAAUGACGCAUCUGCUUUGUCACCUUGUCAAAGAGAUCGGUAUUCUCGGUCCUGUGUACCUACACAACAUGUUUCCUUUCGAGAGGUACAUGGGCGUUCUGAAGAAGUAUGUUCGUAACCGUGCUCGUCCAGAGGCAAGCAUCGCCAAGGGGUAUGGAACAGAGGAGGUCAUCGAAUUCUGCGUAGAAUUUAUCGAAGACCUUCGCCCAAUCGGGAUACCUGAAUCACGCCAUGAAGGGAGACUACGGGGAAAGGGGACUCUCGGAAAGAAAGCAAUAAUGACGUUAGACAACAAUUUAUUCCGUAAAGCCCAUUUCACGGUUCUGCAACAAUCUUCAUUGGUGGCUCUCUACAUCGAGGAGCACUUGGCUCUAGUUUGCACCAAAAACAUCGGUAAGUCCGAUGCAUGGAUUACAAGGCAUCACAUUGAUACUUUCUCCACAUGGCUGCGACAACAUCUCAUGGGUAAUGAGACGAUUAACCAACAACUGGCCUUCCUGGCGAGGGGACCAUCUGGCUCGAUCGCGACAUUCCAGGUAUAUGAAAUCAAUGGGUACACAUUCUACACGAGGGCCCAAGACAUGAAGAGCACGAACCAGAACAGUGCUGUUCGUAUCGAUGCCAUGGGACACGAUGGUACAACUGGCACGUAUUACGGUGCCAUCGAGGACAUAUGGGAACUUGACUAUGGACCUCUCAAGGUCCCUUUGUUCCGGUGCCAAUGGGUUAGGUUGACUGGUGGAGGCGUAACGAUUGAUGACAGUGGGAUGACAACGGUUGACCUUAACAAGGUUGGAUACUCGGACGAACCUUUUGUCCUUGCCAAUGAUGUAACCCAAGUUUUUUACGUCAAGGACAUGUCUAGCAAAGAAAAAAAGGGCAAAGUGACUGACGAGCCGAAGCGCCACGUGGUUCUCCCAGGAAAAAGAAAAAUCGUCGGAUUAGAGGACAAGACUGACGAGGAUUACGAUCAGUUUGAUGGGCAACCCCUUUCACGAUGACAAUUGACCCUAGCAUCCUCCUAUCAAAUGAAGACACCCCUUACUCACGUAGCGAUCACAAGGAAUGAACAAUAGUGAGGAGAAAGUACGUCCGGUCAACCGUCACCGCCGAUGUAUUGCCGUAAUUGUUCUGUACACGAUGUAAACUAUGUUGGAUGUACCGAAUAUCUAUACUAAUCAAUUGUUGUAUGGCAUAUGUAAAAUACGUAUGAUUAUUAGAAUUUUUAUCAAAUUGAAAUCAUCCAUAUGCUAGUUAUAUAUGAUUAUUAGAUUUUUUGUUAAUUAUGUAUGAUUAUUAGAAUUUUAAUCAAAUUAAAAUCAUCCAUAUGCUACAUAUAUAUGAUUAUUAGAAUUUCUAAAGGUUUUAAAUCAUGCAUGUGGUAUUUACAUAUGUUAAUUAGAAUUUUUAUCAAUUUAAUAUCAUGAUAUGCUAGUUAUAUAUGAUAUUAGAUUUUGUAUUAAUUUUAAAUCAUGCAUGUGCUAUUAUGUUAAUUAGAAUUUUUAACAAUUUUAAAUCAUUCAUGUGCUUAUUAUAUAUUAUCCACGUAUUCUACUACGUACAACAAUAAUUUUUCGAAGGUUUUAUCAUUAAUUGUUCGACUUUAAAUAAUUGUAAUGCAUUAUUUACUAUUUUAGAAACACAUAUGCAAUGAAAUUGAAGACACAACUGCUAUUAUCUUUAUUCCCGGUUCCUAACCCUAACCGGGUUUAAAAAGAAUUUGGAAAUAGCGGGAAAAGAUCUUUAGUCCCGGUUCCUGAGAACAACCGGGAGUAAAAAUAUCUUUACUCCCGGUUUAUGAGAACAACCGGGACUAAAGAUCUUUUCUUUAGUCCCGGUUGUUGUCAACAACCGGGAGUAAAGAUAUCUUUACUCCUGGUUGUUCUCACCAACCGGGACUAAAGAUCCGGGGGUAUAUAUAUUCCCGGUGCGCCCUCGUCUUCUCCACCAACACUUAGCCGUUUUUCGAUCUUGAUCGGCCUCUCCUUCGCCGCCACCGUGCCUAGGGCAACCCCGCGCCGACACCGCCGUCGUUUCUCGCCGUCGCUUGGUGGUCCUCGCCGCCUCCGCCGCAGACGCCGCCGCCGCAUCUCUUGGGUGAGAGCCGCCGCUGCCUCUCUCUCUCUCUUGAUCUCGAUCUCGAUCUCUCUCUCUGAUCGAUCUCCACGGCCGGCCGACGACCGACUUCGAUCGACGCGGCCGCUGCCGCCGUCGACGACGUCGCCACUGCCACGAACGCCGCCCCCCCGAGCUUGAUCGCCACGCCACCGCGCCACGCCGCCGCUACGCCACUCGGCCGCCACCGCCUCGAGCUCGCCACGCCGCCACUACGCCACGCCGCGGCCGUCGCGUGCCGCCACCGCGCCCGCACGCCGCUGGGCCCCGACGCCGCGGCCGUGCCCGCACGCCGCUGGCCCCGACGCCGCCACUGCGCCCCCACGCCGCUGGCCCCGACACCGCAGCCGCGCCCCCACGCCGCCGGGCCCCCACGCCGCCGGGCCCCCACGCCGCCGCCGCCGCCGCGCCCGCACGCCGCCGGGCCGGCCCACGGCGCCCCGACGCCGCCGCCACUGCACGCCACUUCCGCGCGCGCCCGAACGUGACCGAACGCGAAGAACGUGAACGAUACGUGGACGACCUUUGAACGAACGCUGAACGAACGUGAACGAAACGUUAACGAACGCGAACAAACGUAACGAAACGUUAACGAACGCGAACGAACGUGAACGAAACGUUAACGAACGUGAACGAAACGUUAACGAACGCGAACGAACGUGCACGAAACGUUAACGAACGCGGACGAACGUAACGAAACGUUAACGAACGCGAACGAACGUGAACAAUACGAUUACAAAACGCGAACGAACGUGCACGAAACGCUUACGAACAUGAAUGCACUUGUACUAAAUGUGUGAGAACGAACGCGUUUCUACUAAUACGAUUUACUGGUAAUGUUGCAGAGAAGACGUUUAGACUAAUACAUUUUCCUGGUAAUGUUGCAGAGAAGACGUCGGCGUCGUCCCUCAAGCCGAAGUGGUAGCUAGCCAUCGAAGGAAUUCGCGCAGGCAAGUGAUGUAAUUAAGUGAUUGUUAGAUAUUUAAUAUAAGAUUGUUACACUUAGCAUACAUGAUUAUUACACUUUUAAUAUAAGAUUGUUAUCGAUUUAAUAUAAUUAAGAUUAGUAGCGAUUUAAUAUGAGAUUGUUAUACUUAGCAUAUAUGACUAUUACAAUUCAAAUAUAAGAUUAUUAGAGAUUAAAUAUAAGAUUGUUAGAGAUUUAAUAUAAGAUUGUUAGACUUAGCAUAUAUAAAUGAUUAUUACAAUUUUAAUAUGAGAUUAGUAGCAAUUUAAUAUAAGAUUAUUAGACUUAGCAUAUAUAUAUAUAUAUGACUUACAAUUUUAAUAUAAGAUUAUUAGAGAUUAAAUAUAAGAUUGUUAGAGAUUUAAUAUAAGAUUGUUAGACUUAGCAUAUAUAAAUGAUUAUUACAAUUUUAAUAUGAGAUUAGUAGCCAUUUAAUAUAAGAUUAUUAGAGAUUUAAUAUAAAAUUAGCAGAGUUUCAAUAUUACGGUUAGCAAAUACAUCCUAUAUACCUAACAAAUAUUUUUUGUAUGCACAGAUGGCUGAUCGCGAUGAGGAACAGAUACUAUACGAAACAAUCGCAGAGGGAAGCAGCCAGUAUUGGAACGAGGAGGGUAACGUGGAGAGGGAUGCAGAGGGGAACGAUGCGGAGGAGGCUAAUGGAAGUCAACCCUCUGCUGGACAGAAGAGGGCACGCGGACAACGAGGUGCCGCGAAGAAGAUAGAGGGUCGGCACAUCAUAACUGAGGUGGACGAAGACGGCCGACCUAGUGCCCCGGCAGAAGCAGCCAGGAAUUUUGUACGCCACAGCGGUUGGGUUGUGAGGGACAACGUGCCUGUCAGCACGGUGUACUGGCGCAGAACAAGGGCACGCGGGGAUGAUGACAGCUUUGUCCCGGACUCAGAGAAAGAGAUGUUGUGGACCACAUUGCUCGAGACGUUCACGCUACCCGCGGGUACGGAUAACUUAGUGAAAUAGUGGACUCUGAAGAAAAUGGCAGAACAGUUCUAGAGCUUCAAGGGAGAUCUCUACAAGAAAUACAUCCUGAAGGGACUAACACCGAACUUCGACGUAUUCCCAAAGCUAAGGGAUCAUUGGGACGAGUUCGUUGCUUACAAGACAGGGCAACAAGGGCAAGAGAUGAUGGCCAGAAACAAGGAAAAUGCCGCCAAGAAGAAGUACCAUCACCACUUGGGGUCAGGCGGAUAUAGCGUCGCGAAGCCGAAGUGGGAGGAGAUGGAGGCUAGCUUGCUUGAGGGGGGUAUCGAACCGGCCACCGCUAAAUGGCCGGAUCGAUCGAAGUUCUGGUACUAUGCUCACGGUGGAACGCUUAACCCAGUUGAUGGCUCCCUUGUCUUCAGCGAUCAGAUAUGCGAGGCUGCCAGUCGACUAACGGACGCAGUGGUGGCCUCUUCUCAGGGCACAUUCCGACCCGACAGAGAGAAGGAUGAGCUGUCACUCGCCCUACAGACUCCCGAGCAUCCAGGACAAACACGAGGGAAAGGCGUGAUUCCCUAGAAGAUUGGAUUUAAGGAGGACAUCCACACGUACAGGAGUCGGAUGAGGAGCAAGAGAGAUACCGAGGCGAAGAUUGCAGAUCUUGAGUACAGGGUAUUGAGCUACGAGCUCAGCAUGCAAGAGGAGGUGGCAAGGAAGGUGGAUGAACGUAUGGCCGCACAUCGGUCCCAGGAUCCCCAGCCGUACAUUCAUCCUGUAAUGGUCAGCACAUCAGGCAAUCGUAGCAGCUGCGCCUCAACGGGGCAGGUCGGAUCACAGAGCAUGGACGCCGUGCAAACCUAGGACGCAACCACCUGCCCUGUUGAUGAGAUCACGCAGCGGACACCAUGUGAGUUGCAUAUUCCCUUCAAGAACUUAUCAAUCAAGGUAUGCUCGUAGUUUGAUGAUUUUUGACUUGUACAUUCCGCAAGUUGCUGCUUAGGUUGAUUACUAAUAGAUAACCUCUCAUCACGUGAAGGUGGCGUCGGGAAUGGCCAUCCCAACGGACCCUUCCGGGACUUACCACUGCAGGCCGAUUCCAGCAGGAUACUCGAGGGUCGAAGUUGAGCUGGUGGAAGCCGCGUACGAGGACCUCGAGUUGGACUACCCAGGAGGGGACGGUGAGACGCAUCUACGAGACACAAGCCACGCCAUCAUACUAUGGCGCAAGCGGUACAUCAUCCUUCCUGGGCGACAAGCGGCGUCUUGUGCACCAUCUCCUCCGGCUCCGCCAUCUCCUCCUGCACCAUCUCCUCCGGUUCCUCCGCCACGUCCUCCUGCACCAUCUCCUCCGGCUCCUCCGCCACCUCCUGCUGCACCAUCUCCUCCGGCUCCUCCGCCUCCACCGUGUCCGCCUGCACCUCCCAAGACAAGGUCUUGCCAAGCUCCACCGCCUGCCCGCACAAGGGCAACGAAGAAGGCGAAAGUCGACGCCACCAAAAACAAGGAGCCACCAUACGAUUGCAGUCAAGAGGAGCUUGAUGCUUAUGCGGCAGGGAGGUGAAGAGGCAACUCAAGCCUCGGAGUACUGAAAAGAAGAUACCUAUUGACCCGAGCGUGAAGAACUUCUUCAAGGGAAUGUCCAAAACAAACAAGGAGGCGUUACAGAUAUCGGACUAUGACCGAACACUUCAGAGAGCCUAUCACAAGAAGUCCAAACCAGUCCCUCAGCUUGGAGAACAACCAAACCAAGAGGUCGAGCCGUUGGUGACCGGCGAAGAUUUUGGCAUAACGGAUUUCAUUGCAGACACUAGUCUAUCUGUGGAUCAGUUGGUUGGAGGCGCACCAAUCCCGAAGGCGGAAGUGGCAUACAAGUUUGAACUCGGUAAACCGCUUGUCAAACCUGAACAGCUGGAGUCCCUACCGACACAGAUGUACAAAUUCCAUGAACGGUACAUGGAAAUGAGCUCCAACAGUAGAGAGAUGUUCGGGGCGAGGAUCAGAAACCCCGACUUCUUGCAAGGAGACGGGGUUACUAAUCGGGACUCCAAACGGUUUCUCCACCAGUGUGUGCAACCGCCGAUUCUUGCUGCAAACAACAACACGAAGAACAAACCAAACCGAAAGAGAAAAAAAAAUCAGCAGAGAGUACAUUACGCAGACAGCACCUAGAAAAGAACAAAUUAAUCACCACAAACCAUGCGACCAAUCCCUGCUCCAACAAAUCUAGGACACCACGAAAAGGGAAAGAUACCUCAACAGAAGGAUUCUUUUCGAUGAACACUACUACAAAACAUUAAAUAGAUGUCGGCGCUAAAGGCCACCGGAAGUGGUAAAAUCGACACCUAGCUAUAGCGUCUUUCCUACUCACGUGCCCACCCACGCGUCCGUCCACAUGCCAAAUUUCAAAAGACCGGCACCUUUUUCCUCAAAUAGGUGCUAGUUUUUAUUGAAUAUCCAGCACCUUUUAGUACCCAUCCCAUCGGAGUAGUUGACACAGAAUCUUUGUAAGAACCGGAUGUCACGCCCCGAACUAGUCCCGACCGGAACUAGCCCGUGACGCUCCAAUUUAACCUGUUAAUCGAUACCAGUCCCAGAAAACAGUGCUGGUAUCAUAGGGAGACAGAAUAUCACAGCAACAGAGGUCUCUUUAUUAUAGAGUAGAGGUAUAGUCAUGUUGGGCUGCGGACAGAUCCCGAGCUCACAACUGCAUUACAAAAGGAAAACGGAAGCCAGGACUUGGACCAAUCAACACAGGCACGACUUGGGAACUAGGCCGAAACCCUAAAACUCAUCGUAGCCGACUUGCUCCUGGAAGAACUCCUCGUCAGCAGGAUCCACUUCAUCUUCUUCAGCAACUGGGGGGAGAUUAUUUAUAUAGAGCAAGGGUGAGUACGGGAGUACUCAGCAAGCCAGGGGAAAUAAGUGUUUAAUGCAGGCUUCAAGGGAAGGCUGCUGUUUUUGCAAUUGAUUUUAUUUGAACUCUUUUCUGAAAACAACUAAGUGCUUCUCAAACGACACGGAUGAGACAAUGCGUCUCGUCCGGUCGGAGUAUGUGCAAUGUAUCAAUCUUUAGGAUUGCAACACGGUUGGCACCCGGCCAACAGCUUUUCAAACGGCCACCCGGGCCAACAACUUUUCAAACGGCCACCCGGGCUAGCUGAUCCCAUCAGCUGCAGAUUUUUCAAACAUCGAACCCCUUUUCACAACAGCAAUUUCACAAGCAGUAGUCAAACAAAACUACGCUAGGAAUCACCUCACAUCCGCCCAUGACCGUGGGCACGGGUGUUCGAACAGUUUAAUGACCUCUGCAGAGGGGGUACACUUUACCCACAUGACAUUACUAACCCGGAUCAUCCAGCCCGUGGGGAUCAGCCACGUCGGGAGACCUCCAAGCUUUCAUGACAAGGCAUUUCGAAAGCCGACACAGGUUUACCAUAUGCCGACGAGAGGGGUCCCAGACCAACAACAGGUUAGGUCCCAGACCAUACUGUGCCAGGAAGCCCAGGGGUCCUCUCCGACACCACCCCGGCGAAUCCACAUGUCUCUCGACAUCAAGGCUCCCCCGAUUAGCAAUUUACUCAGCCAGGGGCGUCCCAUUCCACCCAUGUGGUCGUACUUGUCUUAUGUUCGGAUGAAAUUUCCAAGGAAACGGUCCUUAAGUGCAAGAGCGGGAAACCGUACACCCGGUACGUUCCCCGGUCCGCGGUUUUGGAAAUUCAUUUAGUUCGCAAGCACCGACCCAGGUGUCGGGUUUUCCAAGUCUUUUGUAAAACUCCAGUUUUACCCAAGUUGUUACUCAGAUUUUAAGUUUGAGGGCGACCGUCGAUACUUGCACAGAGUGCACGAGUAUCGAGGCGCAACUGGGUGGUUACAAGGGGACAUGGUAUAGCAAUUAACAAAGGAAGGAUCAAAUGCGACAAAUUAGGUAGGUCCGCCAAUCUGCCUUGCAGACGGGACAAACAGAUUAAGUGCGAUCCUAUCAAUGCAUAAUAUUUUGCAAGCAACAUAAAUAAAUUUCAAAUAUAGGCUCAAGAUGUUCAAAGGUGGCUUGCCUUGCUCGAGAUCUGGAGCUUGAUCCUCGAAAUCCUCGCACUGCGGGUCUUCGGGCUCCGGAACUACACGCGAAACGGAACAACUCAACAAACGGCGAAAAUUAAGCCCUAUUAAUGACCUCUAAGCGUGCCAUUAGAUAGAUCUCGAGAUUUGCGGAAUUUUGGAAGUUGAACGGAGUCAAACGGAUUUACGGUUGGGAAGAUAUUGAAUUUCUAAGAUUAUUAAAUUUUUGAUCUAAAGGAAAAGGAUUUAAUUAAAUCCUUUUUGGAAAAGAAAAAGAAAAGAAGGGAGGGAUGGAAUAUAGACUUUUCUCGGACGGCUAGGGCGCGGCCCAAGAGAAAUGGAGCGGUCCGGCCGAGCUAAAUGGGCCGGCCGGCCCAAGGCGGCCCAAACUCGCACGCGCGCGGGAGGGAGGAGAGAGAGAGCCGGUGGACUGGGCUUACCACGCGCGGUCCCGGGUGGGACCCGCUUGUCAGCGGCUCGGCUCACCGUGCGGAGGGAGCACGCGACGCACGCGCGCGGGCGGGGAAGGGACGCGGUGCAUGCGCGCGGUCCGCGGUGGACGCAGGUGCGGCGGGCCCACGCGCAGCCUCACGGCUCGCGGUGGAACGCGCGCACGGGGAGGGACUAACCGGGGUCGGCUCGAUCCGGUCUAGGCUGAGCUGGUGCCGACGUGGCGCCUACGUGGCGGCCACGUGGGCUGGCGGGAGGUAGACGACGACCCAGCCGCGAAUGGACGGCGGGUGGCGGCGGCGAGCGGCGGAGCGAACCACGGUGAUACAGGCAAAAGCGAGCACACCGGGCGGUUGCACGGGACGAGGGGAGACGAGCCAACGGCUCGGAUUCGCCGGAGGUUGCUCGACGGCGGCGGAUUGCGGCGGCGGCAACCGGCGGCGGGAGAGGAGGAAAACGGCAACGAGGUCACGAGAGGCCGAUUCCCGGCGGUGAGAGCAUCUACGCGGCUUCGGGAACUCGACGCUAGCGUCGGAUUGGGCGGAACUACGCCGAGCGAGGCCGGCGACGAGCGGGUGCUACGGAGCUCGGGCGGCGACGGCGGCGAGCACACGGCGAGUGACGGCAACGGUCGGGGCGGCACCGGCUAACUACGGGGAGUCUACUCAAGCUACUACCGAAAGCUAGGGGAAGGAGAUGGAGCGAGGAGGAAGAACGGAGAGAGACACUACCGUGCGGGACGGGGCGCAGUGACGAGAGGCCGACGGUGCGGGAGUGAUCUCUCCGGCCUCGGACCGAGGAAGAGGAAGAAGAGGGCGCGCCCGGAGUCCCCUUCCGCGUCCACGAACGCACCGGCUCUCCCGGCGCUUGGCGAUGGACGGCGGAGGCGAGGCAGAGCACGGGAGCGGCGGCAAUGGUGAGGAGGCGAAUGGGAGAGGAAAGGAAGGGAGGGGGAAGACGGGUUUAAAUGGGCGGCAAUGUCGGUUUGAGAGAGGGGAACCGACAUGGGCGGUCAAGCCGGCGAGCUGGCGCUCCGGCUAGCGUCCAAAGCGGCGACAGGAGGUGACGCCGGCGAGAGGGGAAAAAGAGGAGGAAAAGAGGAAAAGGAGGGGGAGAAAGGGGGCUUGCCCCUUUGCCGAUUCGGGAAAAAGGGGGAGGGGAGCGGGGGCGACGCGGCAGAGAGAGGAGGGGCGCGGCCUCCUUUCCUUGGCGGCUUGCGCGCGGAGUGGCGGGGGCCGGGCGGUGACGACGGCGAUGACGGUGGGAUGGUUUGGAGCGGCGCGACGACACGGGCGACAGGCGCGGGCUGGCGCGGUAGAGGGUGACGGCGGCGGCGACCAGGCGGUCGGCCACUCGGCACGCGCGCGCGGGAAGCAACGGGCGGCGCGGCUGGGCAGCGGGACCGGGCGACGCGGACGGCGCAGACGACGCGGCUCGGGCAGGAAACCACGCGGGCGCGCGCACGCGAACACGGCGUGCGGGAAGCGGCAGCGAGGGAGCAGAGAGGGAAGACUCGGCUCGGCGCGGGCGGCUCACGCGCGCGGGCAGAGCGGAGGGGGAGGGGCGCUCGGCACGACCCUCGCGCACGCGCGCGCGGCGCGCGGGCGGAGCGGAGGAAAGGAGAGAGAGAGAGAGAGAGCGCCCGGGAGAGAGGGGGCCGGGGGAGAGAUGGAGAUGGGCCGGGGGAGAGGGGAAGAUGGGCCGAGGGAAAAUCGGCCCAUCGACCCUGGGGGAGGCAAAAUGGACUUUUACGGAGGAAUUUGAUUUGGAGGGAUUGGAUUCGGAAUUGAACUCGACGAUAGAGCGGGGAUUGAGAUCAUGAGAUGGCACGGGCACUAGACAACAAUCAAAGAAACAACUUUCGCAAUUAGGGUUUUUAGGAGAUAAUUUUCCCGCUAGGCGCCACGACGGAACGGGCGCUACAGACCAACUCCCCUAACAAGAAUCUCGACCCCGAGAUUCAGCACCUAAGGGAGCAGCUCCGGGAACUCGGCGCGGAGAAGAUCUUCUCGCUCCCAGGUUGCCUCAUCUUCAGAAUGAUUGCUCCAUUGGACCUUGUAGAACUUGAUGGUCUUCCUUCGAGUCUGACGUUUUGCCUCUUCAAGAACCUUGAUCGGUCUUUCCUUGUACGUCAGAUUCUUUUCCAGCUCGAUAUUACCCAGGGGGACUUGCUCUUCUGGAACUCGAAGACAUUUCUUUAGCUGGGAUACGUGGAACACGUUGUGCACAUCUGCGAGACCUUCAGGUAACUCAAGCUGAUAAGCCACUUCGCCACGUCUGGCGGUUAUGAGGUAGGGGCCGAUGUAGCGGGGUGCUAACUUGCCGGACAUCCCAAACCUCCUCAUACCACGGAGGGGUGAUACCCGCAGGUAUACAUGAUCUCCUUUUUCGAACUCAAGGUCAUGCCUUCGAUUGUCAGCGUAAUUCUUCUGACGGUUCUGUGCUGUCUUCAAACGUUCUCGUAUCAGCUUAACUUGUUCUUCUGCUGACUUGAGUAUGUCAGGACCGAAUAUCAGCGCUUCGCCCACCUCAUUCCAGCAUAAGGGAGUGCGGCACUUUCUUCCGAACAUUGCCUCGUUCGGCGACAUCUGAAUGCUGGCCUGAUAGCUGUUGUUGUAUGAGAACUCAGCAUACGGCAAACAACGAUCCCAAGUGCCUUCGAAAUCCAGGGCACACGCACGUAGCAUGUCUUCUAGGAUUUGGUUUACCCUUUCUGUCUGACCAUCGGUCUGCGGAUGGUAGGCCGUACUAAAAUUUCAUUCUAUUCUAUUUGGACUUUGUGUCAAGAACCAUAUAAUAAGAGGUUGUAGCUGUGAUUGAAGUAAAGGCUAGGUUUAAUAUAUAUUAUAAAAAAAUACUGAGGAAAGGUGGUCCAAUAUGCAAUUUACUCUUAUUAUAUUGAUCCUAGUGGUUGUUUGGAAUAAUGAAGGCUUAGCAAACACGCAACGAGGAUGUGCUUAAUUUGCUGACAUAUCUCUUCCGUUCUUGAAUAUUGAUCUUUCGUUUUUCUUUCCUAGGGUGACCCACACCCACUAGGAAUCGAAAAACUCUGCACCUGCUGGUAUGCAUGAAUUAUUUAAAGUUGGCUACUUGGCCUUAUAGAAUUCUUUCAGACAGCAUGGAGAUGGAGAAAUUUCCCACCAAAUAUUGACCCAUACCCCACAUGAUUUGGAUGGAUCCCUUGAUCCGAUCACGAAUGCUUAGGUGGACUUUGUUUCUAAAUGUAGAAAUGUUAUUCAGUAACCAUUGUGGUUUGUUCCAUAAACUAAAUUAAGGUUGGGUUUUCUGAUGGCAUAAAAAUCAUCAUUUACAACUGAUUAAAUAUUUAAAAUUUAGUUGUUGAAACACUGAAAUUAUAUAUAUCUUCACAACAAGUUGCACCAAAUAAUAUUGUAUGUAUAUAAAAUACUAAUAAUACAGCCUAUAUGCCAAACUGAUCAGUUGAUCAAUCAAUUAAGGAACUAGUCCACCAAUCAAAGAUAAGACAUGCCUCGUCGGAUCGAUAUAAUCGCCUUAGCCGUCGAGCACAUGAGCAACGUGCUGCGUCCUCCAAUGACUACGAUUCAACGACGGCAACCCCCAAAAAAAAUAGGAGAAAAGAAAAAGAACACGUCGCAUGCAUUCAUGCAUGUACCAAACACAAAAUCAUUAACAAUUAAUCAAUUAAUAAAAAGAAAUGAGAGUGAGGCCAGGAGAGUUUUAUUUUAUCCUAAUUAAUCCGCUCUCGCCGAGCAGAGCCAAGCAUCAUGGCUACUUGCCAAGUUGCCAUGCAAAUUGUAGGAUUAAUAAUCGAUUUAUUUUGCUGACAUCUUGGGAGCUCAUCUGGCUAUAAAUAUAUACCUUGAUCGAUCGCGAGUAAUAUCGCAUCAGCAUUCAACGAACACACACACAAUCGGAAUCGAUUAAGAGAGCAAAUUGUGUAGUAGUGUUGCAUAUGGAGACACCAAAGAUAUCGGGAGUAGCACUUGCGGCAGCCAUUGCCGUCGUUCUGGCCAUGGCGACCACGCCGGCGGUGGCGCAGAACUCGCCGCAGGACUUCGUGGACCUCCACAACGCGGCGCGACGCGUGGAGGGCGUCGGCGAGGUGGUCUGGGACGACGCCGUGGCGGCGUACGCGGAGAACUACGCGGCGGAGCGCGCCGGCGACUGCGCGCUCAUCCACUCCGGCAGCUGGGAGAAGGCCGGCUACGGCGAGAACCUCUUCGGAGGCUCCGGCAGCGAGUGGACGGCAGCGGACGCCGUCAACAGCUGGGUGGGGGAGAAGGAUCUGUACGACUACGACAGCAACAGCUGCCUGGGGUCGUGGGACUCGUGCCUCCACUACACGCAGGUGAUGUGGAGCCGCACGACGGCGAUCGGCUGCGCCCGCGUGGACUGCGACAACGGCGGCGUCUUCAUCACCUGCAACUACAACCCCGCCGGCAACUUCCAGGGAGAGCGCCCCUUCGAGCGUGGCCUCACUCUCUCUGCUUAAUAAGUUAUUAAUACAGUAUUUACUUUAACUAUGUAUGGAGUAUGAUAUAAAUGUGCG